RNAcentral lists this long non-coding RNA (48832 nucleotides) under Vitis vinifera (wine grape). Its description in RNAcentral is "long non-coding RNA (VVIN_LNC006035)". The record is from RNAcentral. Lineage: Eukaryota; Viridiplantae; Streptophyta; Magnoliopsida; Vitales; Vitaceae.
UCAUGGUUGGAGCGUUUGCAAUACUCGUCCUCUCAUACCACCUGUUAUUAUGGAGGUCUGGAGCUGGUAAGAGCAGAAUGGCACCUGAAGCUUCUGGUGCAUGGCCCAUAAUAGGCCACCUGCACCUGUUAGGUGGAUCUAAGAAUUUGCCUCACUUACUUUUUGGAACCAUGGCCGACAAGUAUGGACCAGUAUUCAGCAUCCGGCUGGGAUUAAAAAGAGCUGUGGUUGUGAGUAGUUGGGAAAUGGCCAAAGAAUGCUUCACCACCCAUGACCUGGCUCUGGCCUCCCGUCCUGAGCUUGUGGCCGCCAAAUAUUUGGGAUAUAACUAUGCCAUGUUUGGUUUAUCUCCUCACGGUGCAUACUGGCGUGAAGUGCGUAAGAUAGCCACUCUAGAGCUACUCUCGAACCGCCGGCUAGAGUUGCUGAAGAAUGUCCGAAUCUCAGAGGUGGAGACAUGCAUGAAGGAACUAUACGAGCUUUGGGCAAAGAAGAAAAGCGAAGCAGGCGUUGUUUUGGUGGACAUGAAGCAAUGGUUUGGGCACUUGUCUCUGAACGUGAUUCUUAAGAUGGUUGUUGGAAAACGAUAUUUCGGUUAUGCAGCCGAAAGUAAAGAGAAAGAGGCCCAGCAGUUCCAGAAGGCGAUUAGGGAAUUCUUUCGUUUGAUGGGACUCUUUGUGGUGUCGGAUGCCAUUCCUUUUCUUGGAUGGCUUGACGUGGGUGGACAUGUGAAAGCCAUGAAGAAGACUGCAAAAGAAUUGGACGGUAUUACUCAGGAAUGGUUAGAGGAACACCGACGGCGAAAAGAUUCGGGUGAAGCUGAUGGUGACCAGGACUUCAUGGACGUGAUGCUGUCCAUUCUGGGUGGUAGAGACACUACUGAUUAUGAUGCUGAUACCAUCAACAAAGCUACAUCCCUGGUAUGCACAUUAUUCCUUUAGCAUCUUUAUAUGGUAGUAAAAAAUGAGACAUAAUUUCAUGCUUUAUCAUCUUUAGUCCAGACUCAAGAGUACUUGGGCCUGGGUUGGAAGAACUUCUUAUUUUUGCUUAGUUUCAAGUUGAAACUAAUCAAAAGCAGCGAUUUUUAAAAGGUAAUUAUAAUAGUGGUGUUAUUAAAGGUCAAACAUAAAUAACUUUUUGCAUAAAUCAAAAUAGAGUUUAUAUAUAUAUAUAUAUAUAAAAUAUUUUUCUGAUCUUCAUAUUAAUUUUUCUAAGUCAUAACUUUUUUGAACAAAAUUAGUCAAACCAUAGAACUCUUGAACUUACAGAAAAGGGCUUUCGAUUUCUUAGAAAUAGAUACAUGAAGAGUUUUGUUAUAUGUUUGUUUUUGUCAAAAGAGUAACAUGAGCAGCUUAGACAAGCAAUUAGAAUGAAAUACAACUGGGCUGAGAAGCUGAGUAGAACUAGAAUUAUGUACAACCUCUUGCUAGGAUAAUUGGGUUGGACUUGUAAUGAUAGAGUUCUCCGUUGGAGUUAGGUGGCCCAAAAAGAUUGUGCUGUUUGAAUAGCUGGUCCUCUAAUUUAGGAAGAGGCAGCCGAAUUUGCAACGCUGGGUGGCUGGGCCCAUAGAAAAUAUUCUUGUCAGAAGAUUGUGAAAGUAUGUUCCUUAGUCCGCAAGGUUUGAGGCCUCUUUGAGUGGGCUUCUAGAGUCGGUUAGACAAUUGGGCCUUUCAAAGGAUUUCCUAAAUUUACAAUUUUUUUAGCCCAACAUGAAUUUUUAUAAAAUGCUAUAUUUAUACGUGAGUUUCAUAUUCAAGCUAAACAUACCCAUUUUGAUUGGAAAAAAAGGGAAAGAACAUGGGGCCUUUUUUCCACCCUUAAUCUUAUCACUACUUUUAAUUUUAUUUUAUUAGUUAAUGGUUUGUAUUUCACAGGUUAUGAUUGGAGGAGGCGCUGACACUACAUCUGGUACUUUAACAUGGGCAGUCUCACUUUUAUUGAACAAUCCACACAUAUUAAGAAAAGCUCAAGAAGAAUUGGAUGCUCAUGUUGGUAAAGAAAGACUAGUAAAUGAAAUGGAUAUAAGCAAGUUGGUUUACCUUCAAGCAAUUGUUAAAGAGACAUUGAGGUUAAAUCCAAUAGCCCCACUUUCAGGACCGCGUCAAUUCAUCCAAGAUUCUAUUUUAGGUGGUUACCAUAUCUCAAAAGGCACUCGUCUUAUAUUGAACCUUACCAAGAUUCAAAGAGACCCGAGAGUAUGGUUGAACCCAAUGGAGUUCCAACCAGAUAGAUUCCUCACCACCCACAAAGAUGUUGAUGUUAGAGGUAAACAUUUUGAGUUGACACCAUUUGGUGGUGGAAGAAGAAUUUGCCCUGGAAUAGUUUUUGCCCUUCAAGUGCUACACUUAACAUUAGCCAACUUCCUGCAUAGAUUUCAACUUUCAACUCCAUCAGAUGCACCGGUUGAUAUGAGCGAGGGUUUUGGAUUAACAAACAUCAAAUCCACUCCACUUGAAGUUCUUAUCUCCCCACGCUUAGCUUCUUAUGAUCUUUAUGAGUAGAAUUUGAGGUCGCUAAGAGACUUAUUUCAAAAAACCUAGUACUAUGAAAUGUGAAAUAAAAAUAAAUUUCAUAGCAUAAGUUUAGUAUUAUUUUAAAAUAGUUACUAAUGUCUGUCCUUUAAUAUUGUCUUAGCUUGAAUUUAAUGAAAAAUAUUUUCGACACUUAUUUUGUGUGGACAAGUAAUGACCCAAUUUCUUGUUAUGUUUCUUCAUUCUUCCAUGAAAGAGAAUUUAGAAGAAAAAGUGGCAUAUAGCAUUACAAUUGAAAAAUUAAUAAGCAUGUACUCCAUAUGCAUAGUAGACUUAAUGAGUUUCCAAGUUGAUUAAUUGGUAUCUCCUUUUGAUAGAUUUCAGCCACCUUUUUGUACAUGAUUAAAGUAGUAAUGGAGACUAAAAUUACAACUCCCAUUUCAUUGUAAAAAGUUGGGAUGUGCAAGGUGGGUCAGUUCAAUUUUGGGCAUUAAAAUCAAAUCGAAUUGAACCCAAAAGAGGAAAAUGAUUAGUUUGACUUGAUUAACAAUAAUCUAAGUUGGUUUAUUUUGCUUCUAUUUAUAACAUCAAUUUUUUUUUUUAAUUUGAACGAAAAUAAUAUUAUUGAAGCAAGUCAUCUUUGGACGGUUGAAAUGAUAUUAUUACAACUAAUUUCAAAUCAUAUUAUUAUAACUUAAUGAUGUGAAUAGGUAUUAUUGUAACCCAUGUCAAUCAUAUCAAAUAGUCCAAGUCAUAGAUAAAAGUUAUAAAGGUGUGAUUGGGAGUUCCAUCCAAUGUGAAAAAUGUAUACCCAAUUAAUGAUGUAACCAAUUGUUAUACUGUAUAUUAUUACUGUGUGUAUAACUUUCAAUUCAAUUCAGUUUGGUUCAUUAAUUUUUUUAAUAGGUAAUUGAAUUGGUAUAACUUGGUUUUAUAUUUAAAAAACCAAAUUUAUUAAAAAAUAAAAUCUUAAAAAAUUAAUAGAUUUGGGUCAAUUUCAUUGAUUUUGCCAAUUGUACACCCUAAAAGAAGGGAUGUCCACUUAUCAUCCAUAAACUUUGUGUACUCCUAAGUUACAAUUUUGCCCCAUGUGAUUCACAUUUGUACUUAUUAUACUCAAUUUUCCGUACAAAUGAUUUAUUAUUUUGCAGAAUUUUACUCCAUGAGAUUCACAUUUGUACUUAUUAUUACCAACUUUGUCUGCUCUUAAGUUACAAUUUCUCCUAAUUAGAUUCACAUGCGUUACUGCCAUAAUUGACUUUCCACAUUUAUGCAUGAAUUAUUAUGUCAAUAGAUGCAUUAUCAUUUUGUCAAGUUAAUCUGACUUAGGUUAAUCACCAAAGGCAAGGUGAAUUAAUUGACUCAAUUUUAAUAAAUUUUAAUUUAACUAAGUGCAAGUAAUAAUAAUAAAACAGUUAAAAAAUACAUAAUUAAAUAACUAAAAAGAAGAGAUAACAGGUACAAACUCCGAUUUAUAUUUUGCUCAAUCCCAUACUCUCCUCAAGCUCUCAAAUGCAAAUUGAGGGUUCCACUAGCUUUUAAGACUUCAAUCAAAUCUUAAUCCUUUACACUUGGAUUCUCAAUUUCAAUGAUCUUUUUACACUUUAAUUCAAGAAAUUCCUCACUCUUGAACAUACUCAAAGGUAACACUUGAACAACAUUGAUCUCACAAAAUUUUAUUUACAAAUAAUAUAAAUGAAAACUUAAAUGGUUUUUCUUGGCUAGGAUUUCUAAGUUAAUAAGGAUUUUUGCAUUAAAAAGAAAUAGUUAAAAUCAAUUGGGUUUUGUAAGAUUUUGAUAUAUAUCUUAGUUUGCGAGUUUUUUGGGAUUCUAUUAUAAUCUUAUUGUUUUAUCCUAAAAUUGUCAAAAAAAGAAAUCAGUAAUUUAGUAUGGCAAUUUUACUCCAAAGAUUAUUGAUUAAAAAUUAUUUUACUAAUACCAACGUGUAAGAGUUAAAGGCAUAAAAUUGAAAUUAAAGUAAGUUUAUUAUUUUGGAUUUGGUUAAGUAAUGACAAGAUUAAUAAUUGAAAUUAAUGUAAAAAGAAGUGUAAAAACUUUAAAAGUUUAAAAUAUCAUUUCAUUAUUAAUUAGUUUCCACUUGCCAACAUAGACUUCUCAUUCUAUUCAAACAAGUUUUUUGUACUUUUAUAUAUAUAUAUAUAUAUAUUUCAUAAACUUAACAAAGGAUACAAACAACAAAAGAAAAAAAAAAUUGAGCUACUAAACCUCAAUAUAAAUUUGGGGUGAAUUAUCAAGGUCUAUUAAGGAGCAUGGGGAAGUGUUGUAUCACAUAUCGAUGUGAAGAAGGUGUAUAUAUAUUUAUAGUAUAGGACCUAAGAUGUGAACGUUUCUUUUAAAGUUAGGUAAACAUUUCUUUCAAAAUUAAUGGAAUCUCACUAUGAUUUAUAUACACAUGCUUUCAGUGUCCAUAGAGGUUGAAAUAAUACGAUGAUUUUUAACUUAUAUCUUGCUUUUUAUAUGUGAUUUAAUAUUGUUUUGGAUUAUUGAUUAUGACUCAUGAAUUAUCAUGCAUGGAACUAAUCAAAAUGAUAUAAUUAAAUUAUAUUAAUGAAUUUGAGAUAGACAUGACAAUUAUUAAUUUAAAAUAUCUUAUAUGAACAUAAAAUUUUAAAUAUAGACUCAUAAUUUAUAUAUAUUAAUAUAAUAAAGUUGAAAAACUACGUUUAUCUCAAAUUUAUGCCUAGGGCCCAAAUUUUGCUGAGAGCCAGCCGGAUGUCAUCACAUGCAAGAAAGCUAGGAAACAAAGCUAAAGUUUGCUUCUUGUGUGGGAAGAGGUACUUCCGUGCUUGACUGAAAGAAAGGAUUUUCUACAAGAAAAAUUGUCCCCUUGUUUGUAAAGCCUCAAGUUGCGACAGCAAUAACGACAAAAGUAGGCCAAAGAAUUUGUCAUUAUUAUGAGACUAGAGAGGUUUUACUGAGAAGUUUUCCGAGCGUGAUAUCAGCAUUCGCUGUAUCACAGUGAUACAACAAAUGGUUUGAACACAGUGAUCUAGAACCCAUUAGCUCAAAUUUCAUUGAUCUGAACACGAUGAUCCUCAUCCGCAGACCAUUUUAGGGAAUGAUUAAUUCGAGCGAUUUUUUAACUGCCUGUACGAAGAACUUUAUCAAAAUUGGAUUCAGUGUAUCUUAACCAAUCUUGAUCAGUAUGCGACUGAUGAUUCUAUUUGAUAAAAGUAAUGCGGUGGCCCAACUUUAUCUUAAUUUCUAUGUUGAAAGUAACCAUAUAUUAUUCUAUAAUUAUAAAUAUAUACUGUGGAAUCAAGAUAACUUUGAUAUGCUAAGGAUCAAAAGAGGGCAGCCACUUUAGUAGUGGAUUAUACUAAAUAAAGCUGAUCGAUUAUUACAUUGGAAAAUAACAUUGAACCUAUCAUGAAAGACAACCCUACUGGACCAUGCCCCGAGUACUAAAUGCUGAUAAAAAACAAGUACAUGUUCCAAAGGAAUUGAGUCCAUAUAUACACAUUAGUGCUCAAAGAGAAAAACUAUAUAUCCACCGCUUAACUACAGUGAUCCUUUGAGCAGAAGAAGCUAGCCAUGUAUUUCCUUCUCCAAUACCUAAACAUCACCACGGUCGGAGUCUUUGCCACACUUUUCCUUUCCUACUGUCUAUUAUUAUGGAGGUCUAGAGCUGGUAACAAAAAAAUAGCACCUGAAGCUGCUGCUGCAUGGCCCAUAAUCGGUCACCUACACCUGUUAGCUGGUGGUUCUCAUCAGCUUCCCCACAUAACCUUGGGAAACAUGGCCGACAAAUAUGGACCGGUCUUCACAAUUCGGAUUGGGUUGCAUCGAGCUUUGGUGGUAAGUUCUUGGGAGAUGGCUAAAGAAUGCUCGACCGCCAAUGACCAGGUUUCAUCCUCGCGUCCCGAACUUUUAGCCUCAAAACAUUUGGGCUACAACUACGCCAUGUUUGGUUUCUCUCCAUACGGUUCUUACUGGCGUGAAAUGCGCAAGAUAAUCAGCCUAGAGCUACUCUCUAACAGCCGCUUAGAGCUGCUGAAGGACGUCCGAGCUUCAGAAGUGGUGACAUCCAUAAAAGAGCUAUACAAGCUCUGGGCAGAGAAAAAAAAUGAAUCGGGCCUUGUCUCUGUGGAGAUGAAGCAGUGGUUUGGAGACUUGACUCUGAACGUAAUUCUUAGGAUGGUGGCAGGGAAGCGUUAUUUCAGUGCUUCAGAUGCAAGUGAAAAUAAACAGGCGCAGAGGUGCCGGAGAGUGUUCAGGGAAUUCUUUCAUUUGUCAGGGCUCUUUGCGGUGGCGGACGCUAUUCCAUUUCUUGGAUGGCUCGACUGGGGGAGACAUGAGAAAACCCUAAAGAAGACAGCAAUAGAAAUGGACAGUAUUGCUCAAGAAUGGUUAGAGGAGCACCGUCGGAGGAAAGACUCCGGUGAUGAUAAUAGUACGCAAGACUUCAUGGAUGUGAUGCAGUCAGUUCUUGAUGGCAAAAACCUUGGUGGUUACGACGCUGAUACCAUCAAUAAAGCCACAUGCAUGCCUGGUAUGAGUUAUUAAUGAAGCACCCACGUACCAUUUAUAUUUGCAUAUUAUCAGGGCUAGCUUCUUUUCCACAGACAGUUUUUCUUUUGUUUAUAUGUUUUAAUUGAUGCAUAUUCACUUUCUUCUUCUCUUAAUUAAAUUGCAAUAAUUAAACAUACAAUUUAAAUAAAUUUUAAAUUUUAUUUUUAACUAAAAACAAAAGUAUACAUAUACAAAUAUAUAUUGCUUAAGCAAUUAAUUUUUAAAAAUUAUUCUUUCAGAACACCUUAGACAAGUUGAGACAUGCUUCGAGGGAAAUCUAAAUAUAAUGAUUUUAAAAGCUACUUUGUAAUUUUAUUUUCGAGCAUGUUGCAUAAUAUAUGCUUUCCUUGAAUUGAUUUUCUAAAUUUUAUUUUUGUCAGCAAGAAAGGGUUAUCUACGUUUUGGAAGUUAUCUUUAAUUUCCCCUGCAAAGAAUAAGUGUGUGGACCCUGCAUUUCGGCUCAAUGCGUUUCCCACUCGAUGGCGAGCUCGAUUUUUAUUUGAAAAAUGAUUUUUAUUGAUUAUUUAGAAAAUGACUUGGAGUCGCCACUUAUUUUUGUUUUAUUUUUAAAGGGUAAACAAAAUAAGAAAGAAAAACCCUAAGUGUGACUCCUUAUUUUGGAAAAGGUGGUCUGUGAAAAACUGAAUCGGGUUCAGGGGUCAGGUUACUUAUUGGGAAGGUACGGUAUGGACCGUAGCACCCCUCUAAGUCCCUAAAGUCGGGUCUCUACUAAUGAGAUGAAGCUGACAUGGCAAUCAAUGAGAAAAUCAAUGAAUACUCGAAUCAAUCAUGCACAUAUGAGAGACAAAGCAUGUAUAAAGAAUGAGCAAAAUAUGAAUAGAUGCGUACCUGGGCGACAAUCACGAAUGCGCUAUCAUGAAACAUGGUUAGUGAACAAUAAACAUAUAUAAUUAAGCGCAUAUCAAGGAAUAGAGUAAAUCAAUCAUGCAUGACAAAUAAAUCAAUCAAUCAUGGAAUCUCAUAUGUAGGGCCCCCACCAAAACCCAAUUCAUUUUUGCAUGAAUCAAUUCCAUAAAUUCCAUCACUUGGAAUUACGGAAUUUAAUUCUUACUUAUUUUUAAAACAUUUUAAAAACCAAGAAAAUGCACAAGUGGCUUGCCGGAAGGAAAAUGGCAACCAAAUUUUAUUGAAAAUGGGAUUUAAGAAGAUUAUUUUCAAGAAAACAGGGGAUGAGAGAAUAGAAGGAAAUGGCACAUGGUCAAGAGCUGCAUGCCUAAGGUGGCCAUGCAAAAACACUUCCCUCUAAGCUCAGGGUGGAGGGACUGCACUAUAAGGAUCAGUGGUGCUGCAGAGCUUGUCAGAACAGCUGAUGGCAUCAUAGGUGUUGCUCCUGAUUGCCUGAAAGAAUUCAUCUCUAAUGGACGGAAUCGAUUGCUCUACAUGAUUAUUCCAGAAGGUAAUGGUUGAGUCCUUAGCUUCACGAACCCAAUUUUUUAUGUCAUUACUUCCCAUCAAACUACCAUGACAUAGGAGCCACACUGAGCAAACUGAUGAGCCCGCUGCCCCACAUGUAUAGGGAAUCCAGUACAAAGUUAAUUUCCGCGGUUUACGAUGUUCGGAAACAAGGAUACUUAGGUAAGAAUCCAGCUUAUACAUGAUAAAUCACGNNNNNNNNNNNNNNNNNNNNNNNNNNNNNNNNNNNNNNNNNNNNNNNNNNNNNNNNNNNNNNNNNNNNNNNNNNNNNNNNNNNNNNNNNNNNNNNNNNNNGUGGAUGCCGCCUAUGAUACUAGCCUCAGAAAUCAUGCCAUUGACAUCGUUGUGCUUGUUACUAUUGCCAUCUCUAUCUCACAUGUGAGAGCCCUUGAUGGAAUCAAUUAAAAUAAUCCUUGAUAGAAACGUGGACUUCAUGUCUCAAAUCUGGCCUUUCAUAUCUCCUCAUUUGUCCAUGUCAACUAUUGUCACCAAGCCAUAAGCCUCUUGAUCCCAUGAUAACCCCAUUAUUCAACCCAAUACUUCAAUGAUGAUUCUCUUUCAUUUGCAUUCCUGACCUUCUCUUAUCUCCAUUACUGAUCCCAUGGAUGUUUACAGGAUUGAGUAUUUGGACGAGAGCAAACUUUGAUUAGAACCCUGUAUCAUGUUGAGUCUCUGCCAGCCUGGAAGGAUAAAAAUCACGUUGCCCCAUAUGGUGAGUUUUACUUUGAUUUACUCUUCCUCCUUGAUUCGUAUAAUGCAAGAAGGACAGGAGUUAAAAUGUCACGGAUAGCAUGAUGGCAAUGCCCAAAAGUAGCGUCAGUGUACAUUUGAGUCAAACGCGACUCCAUAUCAAACAUUGGCGGCCAGCGUCCAAGUCAAAGGGACGUAGUGCCCAUAAUUCACUGUUGAUAUUCUUCUUUCUGGGGAUGGAACAGAUCCAACUUCAAGGAUUGGGUGAGUCUCCUAAGAACUUUUCAUAAGGAUGGAUGACUGCCCAACAAUGCACUCAGGUUCCAUCAUUGCAAAGCCUCAACAGACUGCAUGCACCAUUCGUCGCGUACCUCACGACAAAUGUGAGUCUGGUUAAUCCCGUAGGAGGACUCCAAGCAGCAUGCAUAACGUACCUCUUCGGAAUAUCACAACGAGACCCACUGGUGCCCUCGUCUGAAUACCCCUCCGCCUCUCAUUCAAGUAAUGGGUGUUGGACCCAUGUAUGCAUGCAAAGAUGGAGGAGUGAAGUGGUGAGAGAAAGGAUGUAUGGAUUUAGCUGCGAGUAAGGUCACGGGUAUGGGAGGAUGGAUGCGGUGAAGACCUUUGAGGGUGAUGAAAAAUGGUGCAUGGAGUAAGAUAGGCUAAAGUGGAAAUGCGUGGUAGAAUGGGCAUAGGAGUAUCAUGAGAGAAGUGUGCAGGGACUACAUGCAUGUGGGUGGCUAGGGAAGUAAAAGAUGGGUUCAACAGUGAAACGUAUGGGAAUGAUGAGAGGGAAAGCGGAUUAGCAGAUGGGGUUAAUGAGUGAUAUGAAGAAUGGGGUAUGAGACCUGGGUAUAAGGUGAAAUGAAUAUGACAUGGUUAUGCAUGGCCAUGCCAUGGCCAUGCAAGAACAUGAUGGAAAGGGAGUGACGGAUGUAUGAAUAAUGGAGAGCAUGAGGAGGUAUGGGAUAGAUGAACAGGGCUGGAUGGUGGAUGAUGAAUAAGUAAUGGUGAAAUGGGUAUGAAAGAGUUUGAAGAGAGAGAAAAGGUGGUAAUGUGGAAUGGGUUUGAUAGGUGGGAGUACAAAGUGGGUAUGAAGAUGGGUAUGAAUGGUUUAGUAGGUACGAGACAAAUGGGUUAGAUGGAGGGUAUAAUGGGUGAUGUAAUGAUGGAAACCCGGGCGUUUAUUCAUCUUUGGAGGCACGAUACCCGGGUCAUGAACAGAUGGAUCACACUUCUUGGCCAGCUGCAUUCAGGCCAUAGUCAAUACAACCGACUUCGCUACCUCCAUUUCCAGGCACAGUGAUUGACACAAAGGAAGGUAACUUCCCAAUAAUCAAGCUUCUUUCGAUACAAGGUCUGCAUGGCUUAGCCGAGUUCAGUUUAGUUGGGUGUCGAAUCCCAUUGGUCAGUAGACCCAUUUGGAGCGAAACUGAACCCUUUAAUCCAAAUGGACCGUUACAGAGAGCACAAAGCAGCAGUAGGAUUAGCAAGACCCAGAGCAUAAGAGCGGGCUGUGACCAUGGCAGAGAUUCCAAAUUAGAAAGCAAGCACAAAACCAUCCAUGGAAGAGGUUAUCCAAGGUUUUGGAUGCUUAUGAAGUUUUCCCGCAAGUUGAACGAAUCUGUAACAGAGUGCCUUCUGAUCUAACCUGCAUAGUUUCAACAUGUACCACACCAUCCCCAUUCACGGUACCUCCAAUCACUAUGUCACCCUUCUUUCUUCGCCAUAGGCCUAGCAUCCUCUGUGAGCAUGUUCUUGAACCCACAAUCUCCCGCUUUACCUCAUGGAAACAUGUCAACCAAAAUAGCCCACCCAUCAAGUGACUGAUUCAACUCUGAUACCCGACAUCUCAGAUGCACCAACAACAGAAGCACAAAAGGGUAGGAAAUGGGGCCAAAACAGAAAAGAACGAAGGAAGGAUAAACGAGGAAUAAAGUAAAACAUAAGUGUAUAGAGCCUCAUUUCAGGUGACAUCCAUGGGCUUAUACAAGUGAGGAGAUCUCAAGUUAGAGUUACAGAAUAUAUGAGGAACCGAGUUCUAUUAACUCCAAGCCAAACCACAAGAACAGCAGUAAAAUCAACAACAAUAGAGUAUAAAAACGAUCCAGAAAUCAACAAAAUUCAGUACGUAUGACCCAACUCAAAUUGAUGAGCAAUGCAGAGCAAACCAAAAUGAGAAAAGGGUGAGAAAAAUAUGAAUCAAAGUAAGCAAGAAACUCACCUCAAACUCACCUGCAGACGCUCCUCUCUCUAUUCCUUCAUUCUCUAAGCUUCAGCUAGCCAAAAACAACGCCCAGAAUCUCCGUCACACAGCCACCCAAAACCUCCUCCUCUGCAGCCUCGAACCUCUCUGCCAACAAACAGCAACCAAAAGCACCUCCCCCUCUCGGAAACUUCUUUCUCCCUAAAAAAAAACUCUCAGACCAGCCUCUCUAAAGCUCCCCCUCUCUCAAGUUCACCGUCCAAAAUUACUCCUCUCAUGGAAAAACUCCCUGGAAUCCCCUCAGCAGCCCCGGUACCUCCAGCUAAAAGAAAAUCACCCCCCCCGGUUCUCAUGUCUCUCUCACCUUUUUUUCUCUCUAGCCAAAACCAGCUUUCUUUUCCUCCCUUUGGAAAUAUCUCCCUAACGGCCAGACGACACCCACCUGCCUUGCAGCUGCAAGCCUCCACUCCCCCCUAUGCAGCUGGCAGCCUCCCAAAAUCAACCCAACAAAAGCUCUUCCCCUAAAGAUUUCUGCCACCUUCCUCUUCUAGGCAAUAUCUCUUUUCUGUCCCGGAUUUGCCCCUCCAACAAUCCCUGUAGCCACCUCCAGCACCACUACACUCUGCAUGCAACUGGCAACACCUCCUAACGGAAAGCACGCUCCCUUCUUCUAGAAUGUUCUUCACUUUCCAGGUGUCUUCCUCUUAUUAGUCCAUCAAUUCCACCAUAGUGAUUCCACUAGUAGCCAACCCGAGAGUGACACGUGGCCAUGCGAGAUGGUGACACUUGUCCAGCAUCAGCUGCAAGAAUGACUCCCAAAAUGGGGGUCUACAACUAUGCCCAUUUUCGGUAGAGUUCACAAGUGUAAGGAAAAUGAACACUGGAAUGAAAGGUAGGUGUGAAUAGUGAGUGGAAUGAAGUGAACUCUACCGAAGAACCAAGGAGACCCCCAUAGGGACACUAGCAAAACACGAAUUCGCUCAGGCUGACAGACUGACACAAAGGCUCUGAUCCUAAAACAAAAUGAUGUCUCAAAAUGCCUCUGAGGCCAUACUAAGGAUCCAAGCUCCCUUUAACAUGCCUCCAAAAGUGACCCGAAGAUCGAUGUCAAAAGUGAGUAACGGUCGAACCACCCUGGAGUACGAACAAGAAUGCGUCUAAAGGAGACUGCCCUAUGUGGACUAUGAGAUGAAUAGGUGAUAAGCACAGGGUAACGAGGUGAGAAGAGUGAGAAUAAGUGCAAAUCCAUGAAGGUGAGAUGCGCAAUGCCAGUGAAUAUGAACGCUAGGGGCUGCGACUCUGAAUGACGAGACUGACCCUAAACGCUAAACUGAGAAAAACAAUGGCUCUGGAAGCCAGACCAAAAACUAACUCUAAAAACUAAACUAGAAUAACAGCUCUGGAAGUCAACCAAAAACUAACUCUAAAAGCUAAACUAGAAAACAACAGCUCUGGAAGCCAACCAAAAACUAACUCUAAAAACUAAACUAGAAAAUAACAGCUCUGGAAGCCAACCAAAAACUAACCCUAAAAGCUAAACUAGAAAACAAACAGCUCUGGAAGCCAACCAAAAACUAACUCUAAACUAGAAAAUAAUAGCUCUGGAAGCCAAACUGAAAACUAACUCUAAAAGCUAAACUAGAAAACAACAGCUCUGGAAGCCAAACCAAAAACUAACUCUAAAAACUAAACUAGAAAAUAACAGCUCUGGAAGCCAACCAAAAACUAACCCUAAAAGCUAAACUAGAAAGUAACAAACAGCUCUGGAAGCCAACCAAAAAACUAACUCUAAAAACUAAACUAGAAAAUAACAGCUCUGGAAGCCUAAACAAGUCGACAGUAACGACUCUGGAAGCCUAAACAAGAUGAUAGUAAUGGCUUUGGAAGCCUAAACAAGAUGACGGUAACGACUCUGGAAGCCUAAACAAGAUGAUAGUAAUGGCUCUGGAAGCCUAAAUAAGAUGACGGUAAUGGCUCGGAAGCCUAAACAAGAUGACAGUAACGACUCUGGAAGCCUAAACAAGAUGAUAGUAAUGGCUCUGGAAGCAUAAACAAGAUGACAGUAAUGACUCUGGAAGCAUAAACAAGAUGACAGUAAUGGCUCUGGAAGCAUAAACAAGAUGACAGUAACGACUCUGGAAGCCUAAACAAGAUGAUAGUAAUGGCUCUAGAAGCCUAAACAAGAUGAUAGUAAUGACUCUAGAAGCCUAAACAAGAUGAUAGUAACGACUCUGGACGUCGAAACUAAAAAGUGAUGAUGAUGACUCUGAACGUCAAACUGAGAAGUGAUAACGACUCUGAACGCCAAAACCGAGGAUGCGACUCUGAAUGUCGAUCUGAAAACCGAUGAUGGCUCUGAACGCCUAAACUGAGAAAUGAUGAUGAUGACUCUGAACGUCAAACUGAGAAGUGAUAACGACUCUGAACGCCGAAACCGAGGAUGCGACUCUGAAUGUCGAUCUGAAAACCGAUGAUGGCUCUGAACGCCGAAACUGAGAAGUGAUGAUGAUGACUCUGAACGUCAAACUGAGAAGUGAUAACGACUCUGAACGCCGAAACUGAGGACGCGACUCUGAAUGUCGAUCUGAAAACCGAUGAUGGCUCUGCACGCCGUAACUGAGAAGUGAUGAUGAUGACUCUGAACGUCAAACUGAGAAGCAAUGAUGAUGACUCUGAACGUCAAACUGAGAAAGUGAUAACGACUCUGAACGCCGAAACCGAGGAUGCGACUCUGAAUGUCGAUCUGAAAACCGAUGAUGGCUCUGCACGCCGUAACUAAGAAGUGAUGAUGAUGACUCUGAACGUCAAACUGAGAAGCAAUGAUGAUGACUCUGAACGUCAAACUGAGAAAGUGAUAACGACUCUGAACGCCGAAAUCGAGGAUGCGACUCUGAAUGUCGAUCUGAAAACCGAUGAUAGCUCUGAAUGCCGAAACUGAGAAGUGAUGAUGAUGACUCUGAACGUCAAACUGAGAAGUGGCUCUGAACGCCGAACUGAAAAAUGUGACAUGAUGACUCUGAAUGUCGUAAACCGUGAAUGAACGGCGACUCUGAACGCCAGACUGCAAGGAAACAAUGUGGGGGAAAUAUGCCCCAGUGUGACAUGCCGCUGCAAAUCUCAAACUGCUAGAAAUGGCUAAAAGGGACUCUACGAGUCUCGAAAGACGCACCACUAAGAGCUCAUGUCAAUGAAGAGCUCAGGAACAACGGUCAGUGAGGCGAAUACAAUAUAUCUCGGCCGAGUGAUGGAAACCGCGACGGACAUGUGAGAGAACGAUCGCCUCCAUGGCUAAAUGAGGGAAAUACGCCCCAGUAUGGCAUCAGAUGUACCCGAUCUGCCCUGAUGACCCGAGAAUAACACCAUGGGGAUGCAUAAAAGACCUGAUGUGUACCGCACUGAAAUGAUGACAUGGGGAUCCAAGCACUCGACAUAACCCCAUCCAGGAAUCACGACUAUAUCAAAGAGUAUGAAUCUGGCUGAACGAGUCAAGAGAGGCUCCUCGGAGUAUCAGGACAAAAUGAAAUCAAUCAUCAACCUGGCGUGUAUCUCAUAACUGUGGAUGAUCAUGUAAACCAGUGGGGAUCUAUAAAUCUCGAUCAAGAUGGGGAAUAUGCCCCAGUGUGGCAUCGGAAAUGUAACAUGUCGAAAAAUCAGCUGAGCUCAAAUCAUCUAUGCCUGCAACUAGCUAGAUGGCUCUCGAUAGGCUCCACUAAGGAAUCAUCGCGAGGAUAGCGAAUAUAUCAUCAUCCCUGUAUACAUCUCGCAAAUAAGGAUAAGCACGCAACUUCCUCAUGAUCUGUAAAUCUCAUCCGAACGGAAAUAUGCCCCUGUAUGGCAUCGAAAUGUAGGAUAGGUCGGAGAUCAGAUAGCAUGGAAUCAUCUAUCUUAGAACAUGUGACCUCUGCGAAAAUCCAUAAAGAUCCUCCGAAACGGAAUAUGCCCCAGUAUGGCAUCUGACGUGCGACAAACCAGGAAAAACAGGUGACAUCGAAUCAUCCCUCAUCAAACACGUGAUCCUGGUAAUCCAAACACGGUCGAAACGGAUCUAAACAUCUGAGAAGUGUUUCUCAGAAGAAGAUGCAUGGCAAAUAUCUGGAUGUCAACUGAAUCUCAAACACCUGUCCACAUAGAAGCCGUAGAAGACGAUAUCUGAUCCCAUGGCCUCAGGGUGGUCUUAAGACACAGGACGUAAUGUAGGCUAGGGUGAUAGGGUGAUAGAAACGAAGGGAAACUAAGCUCAAAUACCCAAUGAUCAAAACCCAUGCCCUCGUGUGUGAAAUGCAACAUGUACAGAAAAUCCUGUGAGCCCUGGACCUGAGGGUGUCUAAUGUGAAUAUGAUGUCAAUGAGGAAACAAGUGAAGCAAAUCAAACUGAUAAUGAGAUAUGUAAUGGUGAUACGAAGGGAAUAUCAAACCCGAGAUGGGUCUGGUAAGAAAAGAAUGAGAAGUGAAGUGAGAAUGACGAAUCAGAAGCGAAAACGAGGACGAUGAUAAUGAAGCGAAUAACAUCAAAAGGAGUGAUGAUCAACUCAGAUCAGACAUGGAGUGAUGUCACAUCAACUACGAACAUAAUGAUGGAACGUACAAUAACGCAGAGCUCCUAAGAGAAAGUCACUCAUCUCGCUCACAAAAUAUGCAACAAAAUGAAUACAAAGCCUGAGGGAUCCAGGGAAGCUCACAUACGAACUCCCGUCAACAAACAUACUCGAUCAAGUGACCCUCGAAUAUCAAUACAUACACUCAGUGAUGGAUAACAAAACACACUUGAUUUUUAUUUCUUUUUCCAUUUUUUUUUUUUCAUUUUUUUCAUUCAUUUUUUUUUUUUUUUACAACAUAUAAAUGAACUGUACAUGAUCUGAAUGCAUACAAAGAAGACCCAAAGACGGGAUCAAAAAUGAAUAAACAUGCCCUCAAAUAUCAAUAUAUCACAAACUCAAUCUAAUGAGAUGAGGUGACCUUCUCAAACUGAGGAUCCCUGGAUCAGUGUCCGUGGGAUAGAUAGUGGAAAUGGCGUGACUACCCUCCAUGUGAUGAAAUGAGGAGGAUCACCCCUCGGGGUGAAAGAAGAUGACAUGAAACGAAUAGUAGAUAAGAUAAAGAAAAUAUGAUGAAUAACACGAACAGUGAGAUGAGAUGAAAUGCAAUGAUGCAGUGGUGAGCACAGAUAAUGAGAAGAACGUGCCCCUAGGUCCAAGGCUCAUGAAACUCUCAAACAAUGCAUGCAUACACUAAAGGGCCCCAAUCCCGGUGUGAAAAUGUGAGCAAGGCUAUAGAAAAUGAAGGCUAUGAUGCGCGUGUGAGGCUCAAAUGGGCUAGCAAUGGACUAUAUAUAUCAGAAACGGGAUAAAGGGAUAUAGCUAACCGAAAUGAUGGCCACCCAUCCUGCGACCAUGGACUCAAACGUAGUACCUCUUUAGCUGAUCCACAUUGGUCGGCUCUGAGAACUGGUUUCCAUCUAAAUCCAUCAGCCAUGCAGCGCCCUCUGGAGUCAACUUCCUGAUGAAAUAAGGUCCGCUCCAACUAGGUCUGAACUUCCCUCUAGGAUCUCUGAUCAAUCCUCUGAUGACUCUCAAAACUAAGUCACCUACAUGCAGUGGUCUAGGCUUGACCUGCUUUUUGAAAGCGCGGGCCAUCUUCCUCUGAUAUGCACGAACGUGGUCUGCUGCUCUCAAUCUCCUCUCAUCUAGGAGAUUGAGCUGAUCAAAUCGAGCCUGAGCCCAAUCCGUCUGGGGAAUCUGCUGCUCUAGUGCUACUCUCAAUGAUCCCAUCUCAAUCUCAACAGGUAGCACUGCCUCCAUGCCGUACACCAAUGAAUAGGGUGUGGCUCCUGUAAAGGUGCGAAAAGAAGUCCGAUAUGCCCACAAUGCGAAAGGGAGCUUCUCUGACCAAUCCCGAGAAGUCUCAACCAUCUUUCGCAAUAUCCUCUUAAUAUUCUUAUUCGCGGCCUCUACUGCCCCAUUCGUCUGCGGCCUGUACGCAGACGAUCUAUGAUGCCGGAUGCCGUAUCUCUGCACCAAGGUGUCAACCUCUGCUCUGAAAUGCACCCCUCUGUCUGAAAUAAGCUCGUGAGGGACUCCAUAGCGACAAAUGAUGUGCGAUCUAAUGAAACUGACAACUCCAGAUGACGUCAAUCUCGCAUACGAGGCGACCUCCACCCACUUGGUGAAGUAAUCAAUAGCAACAAGGAUAAACUCAUGACCACUGGAAGAUUUCGGUGAAAUCUUCUCGAUGAUAUCGAUACCCCAUACUGAAAACGGCCAUGGUGAAGUCAAUGCAUGCAACUCCGAGGGCGGCACGUGAAUGAGAUCUCCAUGUAUCUGACACUCGGGACAUCUCUGAACGAACUGGCAACAAUCUGUCUCCAUGGUCAACCAAAAGUAUCCUGUCCUCAUGAUCUUACGGGCCAACAUAUGCCCCCCAUAUGUGGUUCGCAGACUCCCGCAUGAACCUCUCGCAUAACUCUAUCGGCAGAAGCGCGAUCCAAACAUAAUAGCAGUAUCCCAUCAAAUGAUCGUCUAUAUAGCGUCUCGCCACAAAUCACGAAUCGGGUGGCCAACUGUCUCAAUGCCCUCCUAUCCUUGGCCGUGGCGGCCUCAGGAUAUAUGCCGAGUCUCAAAAAGUGAUAUAUGUCAUGAUACCAGGGCAAACCAUCGUCUAUCUCCAUAUCAUCAAUCAAACAACAAUACGCAGGAGCAGAUCUCGACUCAAUCAACAAAGGGCGAACAGUGGCAUCAGCGGGAAUGUCGAUCAUGGAAGCUAGAGUAGCUAAAGCAUCAGCAAACUGGUUUUGCGCUCUAGGCAGAUGUGUAUAUCUCAAAUCCUCAAAUCUCGCGACCAGUAGCUCCAAAUACGCGUGGUAAGGCCUAAGCUUCACAUCUCUAGUCUUCCACUCGCCUUGAAUCUGUCUCAAUACCAGAUUGGAGUCACUAAACACCUCCAUCUGUCUAAUCCCAAGCUCGAGGGCUGUCUCUAACCCCAAGAUACAUGUCUCAUACUCAACAAUGUUGUUCGUGGCUGGAUGUCGAUCCGAGAAUGCCAAACGAACAGAUCUGGGAAUGUGAUCACCAUGAGGGGAUAUCAACAAAACGCCUAUCCCGUAUCCAGAAUGGUUGGCUGCACCAUCAAAGUACAUGCGCCAACCCGACAGACUAGUCGCAGCUGCGACGUCCUCGUCUGGAAAAUCAUCGUCAAUAGCUCUGGCAUCAGAAACUGGUAAUGAGGCUAAGUGAUCUGCGACAAUGCUCCCUCUGAUGGACUUCUGAGUGACAUAAUGAAUGUCAAACUCAGUCAGAAGUACCAGCCAUCUCAUAAGGCGACCAACUAGAGCGGGCCUGUCAAACAAAUAUCUCAAAGGAUCAAGACGAGAUAUCAAAUGCACUGAAUACUCGGUCAUGUAAUGUCUCAAUCGGCGAGUGGCCCAAACCAAUGCCAAGCAGUAGCGCUCAAUCGUGACGUAUCUCGUCUCGUAAUCUAGCAUCCUCUUGCUCAGAUAAUAAAUGGCUCGAUCUUUGCCCGAAUCAUCGAGCUGAGCUAACAUGCAACCUAAAGCCACAUCCGAAACUGAUAGGUAUAGGAGUAGAGGAUGGUCUGGUGUAGGCGGAGCCAAAACUGGAGGCGACAACAAGUACUCUCGGAUCCUCUCAAAUGCGCGCUGACACUGAUCAUCCCAAACAGUAGGUUGACUCUUCCUCAAGAGUCGGAAAAUGGGCUCACAAAUGUCUGUCAAUCUGGCUAUGAAUCUACUGAUGUACUGAAGUCUGCCCAGGAAGCCUCUGACCUCUCUCUCUGUCCUCGGUGCAGGCAUGUCAAGGAUGGCUCUAAUCUUGUCCGGAUCUACCUCUAUGCCUCGCUCACUGACCAUGUACCCCAAGAGUUUCCCAGAAGUCACUCCAAAAGUGCACUUCUUGGGAUUCAGCCUCAAUCUAAAUUGUCUGAUCCUCUCAAAGAACCUCUCAAGAGCUGCCAAGUGAUCUGAUCUAUCUCGGGAUUUCACUAUCAUGUCGUCUACAUAAACCUCGACAUCCCGAUGCAUCAUGUCAUGGAAGAGUGUGGUCGCUGCUCUCUGAUAGGUGGCUCCUGCGUUCUUCAAUCCGAAUGGCAUGACUCUAUAGCAAUAAGUACCCCACUCGGUAAUGAAGGACGUCUUCUCCAUGUCCUCUGGAGCCAUCAAGAUCUGACUAUACCCGGAAAAUCCGUCCAUAAAGGACAACAUCGAGUGACCUGCUGUACUGUCAACUAACAUGUCGAUGUGUGGGAGAGGAAAAUCAUCUUUAGGACUGGCCUUGUUGAGAUCUCGGAAAUCAACACAGACUCUCACCUUGCCGUCUUUUUUGGGAACAGGGACGACAUUGGCCAGCCACUCUGGGUACUCGACUACUGAUAGAAAUCCUACACUGAGCUGCUUCUGAAUCUCCUUUUUCACCUGCAAGCUCCAACGAGGGUGCAAUCGUCUCAACCUCUGCUUAACCGGUCUGGCAUGGGGCAGAAGUGGCAAACGAUGCUGGACGAUGGAUGGAUCAAGGCCCGGCAUGUCCUCAUAGGACCAUGCGAAAACGUCCAAGUAGGAUCUGAGCAGCUGGAUGAGACUAUCUCUCUCAUCUGAGGAUAAAUCUGACCCGAUCCUCAACUCCCUAGGCUGAUCUGCGGUGCCGAAAUCAACAAUCUAUGUGUCUCCUACAGCAGGUGAAACCCUCUGAUCAACGGGAUCCGAAUCGGAAACAGAAGAUGAGUCAUCAUCUGAGUCGUGCUGUGCAAUCUCAUCAUCAAUAUCAAAAAUCUGUGAUGUGGGUGAAGAUGGUGCAGAUAAAUCAAUAUCACAAGAGACAGGCAGGUACUAAAAAAUGCUCAAAUCCAUAGAUGAAACAUCGGAAACAAUGUCAGAACGGGAGACAAACCCCGACUGAACGUCAAAUGAAAGAGGUGGGUCCACAAAGUCGGACGCUUCCUCAACAAUGCCAACAUGGCUAUCAAUCAAAUCAUAAAAAACUAUAGCAUCCUUAGUAAUCUCCAGAGCAGGGGCUGUCUGGAUCUCCUCAACGAUCUCGAUGAAAGACACCCCGAAAAGAUCGAAUGGUGAAGUGAGCCCAGGAUGAACUCUCUCCUCGAUCGGGCCCAGGCUCAGGGCGAGCAUCUCGUCGAUGUACUCGUCGUGUGGGACGGCUCCGUCCACUAUGUCUCCGACCCCAGCAAAGGUCUCAUGCUCAUCGGUCUCGUCCGGGAAGCAAAGCGUUAUAAGGCUCGUGCGAUCUGGAGACGAAGGAGCAAUCAACACAGAAGUCGAAGAGCCAGGAGCUCCAUCUCUCAAUCGUAACUGAUGGACAAGGCGCUGAAGCUCGACCUCCUGAGUGGUGCUAAGUCCUCCAAUGAUCACGUCCGCACGGGUCAAUGGCUCUGAUGCCCUCACAAAAUAAUCAGAUAAGCUCCUGGUGUAUGGGCGAAGAGGAUAGUAGAAAGGUGUGUGGGUCAGUCACUCUCUCCUUGCGCAAACGCGCCAUGUAGAGAUAAUCGGCCUCAAUGGGGAUGAACCCGAGUCCGAACGGUACGUCGUGAUCAGGGAUGGCUAUGAACUCGCUCGGUCCAUGCUGACAUCGACCCAACCCCAUGCCGGGUAGAUAGGACAUGCUUCGCAUAAUAUCGAGCACCACUGUGCUCCCAUGCCGGUCAAAGGACAUGGCCACAAAAUCCCGGCAGAAAUCCUCUAUCUCCACAGUCUGCACCUCAUCGAAGGUGAAUUCAGUCAGAAAAAGAUCGUCAUCAGUGUGACUAAUCUCGAGCACAGGCUCGGCAACAAUGAACAUGUCUCCCACAGACUGUACCACGACGACCUGACCAUCGUGAAUAAACUUCACCUUCUGAUGAAGGGAAGAAGGAAUGGCCCCGGCUCUAUGGAUCCAUGGUCGGCCCAGAAGCAGGUUAAAGGAUGUAGGAAUCCUCAAAACCUGGAAUACAGCGACAAAAGUGGCCGGACCGAUCAGCAACUCGAUCUCCAAUGUACCCAUGACCUCUCUACGGGUGCUAUCAUAAGCUCGGACGGUCUGAGUGGAGGGACCGAAAUCAGAAGGAGCGUAUCCAAGGGCGAUGGCAGUGGCAAGAGGACAUACGUUCAGGGCCGAGCCAUUGUCCAAAAGGACAGAUGGGACUCGGCGGCCUGAACAGCCAACAGAUAUGUAGAGCGGACGAGUGUGGUCCGAGCCCUCCGGUGGCAAGUCAUCAUCGGAAAAGACGAUACAAGUGGCUCUGCCAGCCGUCAUCAUAUGAAGGAGUCCCUCGGGAGUGGUCGUGGUAUCAACUCUGAUCUGGCUCAGAGCUCGAGUCAGUGCGUCCCGAUGGGUACUGGAAGACGCUAAAAGGCUCCAGAUAGAAAUACGAGCCUGAGUGCUCUGCAACUGCCUCAAAAUCUCGUCAUCCUCUGCUCUCACCUCCUCCUGGGAUGACGUACCCCCUAAGGGUCUAGCGGGAGCGGCUGGAGGUGGCUGUCUCACUACUCUCCCUCCCCGGAGGAUAUACUAAACGUCCGGAGUCUGAGGAUCAUCACUAUGUGGAGCCUGAACCUCCUCAACAUCUGGGAUCAGAAUGUACGGCGCCUGAACGCUAUAGCGUGUGAAUGUCAGAGGCUCGGAAGUGGCCGCCUGUACAGAUGCUGCCUCAGGAACUAAUCGGAAUGGAGCAGGCAUCUGUGGCUCUAGAGUCACCCCACUCGUCUCGUAAAUCACAGCUGGCAUGAUAGGCUCUGGGUCUGGAUCAUCCCAACUCAACAUAUGGACAUGAUCAUCAGUCUCAUCGAAGUCCAAGAAAUGAAUACCACAAGCUGGUGGAGGAACUGCAUGUGUGGUGUGGGUCGGCAACGGGUUUGUGGUCACACUCGGCUGACCCAAGUGUACCAAACCCUGGUCUAUCAGAUCCUGAAUAGCGUGCCUCAGAGCGGUGCAUCGAUCGGUCUCAUGUCUAGGCCCCUGAUGAUAAGCACAGUGUAAAUCCAUCCUGAACUGAGCUGGAAUAGGCUGAGGUAGUGGCCGAGGGGUGAGAGCAGUCAAUAAACCAGCCUCCGUAAGCUUCCGAAGAGCCUGGCUCAACGGCAUGCCUAUCUGCGAGAACUGCCUCUGCGUCCUCAAAGUAAACGGAGCAGAAGUCUGCUGGGCUCCAGGUCGGGGAUAAGGCGCCGCAGGUCUCGCGGUGAACUGAGCAGCGUAGCAUGGCUGCCCUGUGGCUGUGUAGGAGACCGCGGGUCUCUCAAUGCCCUGAGUGGCAUAAGAAGGUAAAACCAAUGUCUGUGGCAUGUGUGUCUGAUCGUAAGCCGGACGAGGUGCCCGUGGCCUGUACUGAUGAGAUGCAUAGGAAGAAUGAGGCUCGAAAAACUGUGGGAUCGGCUGAUGGCGUCUAAGAGGCCUCUGACUGGAUGAACUGAUAGCACCAACCUCUGUCGGUCUCGGUCCUACGAAUAGUUUCUUCCCCUUAACAUCACUAGGGGAAGAAUCUGCCCAUAAACCUCUCGUGAUGCCGUCCUCGACAUCAUACAAAGCCAUAACCAGAGACCCAAAAUCUGUGAACGGGACCCCGACCACAUGUCUGGCGAUCCCCGGCUGUAGGCUCCUCAAAACCAUCUGAAUCUAGUCUCUCUCUGAUGGUCUAUCCACUAUCUCAGCUAUCUUCCCGCGCCAGCGGGAAAUGAAAGAAGAAACGGACUCCUCUGUCCUCUGCCUUAGAGCCUCGAGCUCUCUCCUCGAUACAUCUACAACAGUGUUAAACGAAAACUGUCGUAGGAACUCCUGGGCCAAGUCAUCCCAUGUACGGCGUCUCGAGGACUCCAGAGACGCAAACCAGCGCUGAGCUGCCCCACUCAGAGAUAGGGGGAAAAGAGUGAUCAUUUGAGGCUCGUCCAGUCCAUGAGCCCUCAUCACGGUGCUAUAAAGUCUGAGGUGGAGGCGCGGACAACCAAUACCAGUGUACCUCUCAAUAUCUGGCAUCCUGAACUUAGUUGGCAAGCUGGCUACCGGCAUACCCCCAAAAUCAUCCCAAACAACUGAUCCAUCUGACACUCUCAUCUGCCUCAUACACUGCUCGAUGCGGUCCAUGCGGGCAUGCGUGUCAUCAGCGACAACGGCCUGGGCGACUACGGGUGGAGUGAUCUCAGAAUGCCCGUGUAAUACAUAUGGUGAUGCCUGAUGCACUGAAGGAACGAGUGGGGGUGGUGGAGGUGGGUGUGAGUCAUAUGGCGUCUCAUCCUGGACUGCUGGUGGUCUACCCUACUGACCACCGAUCUCCUGCCUGAGGCUAGCCAAAGCCUCCUGGAUAGAAGCCAUGGCAGCCGUGAACUGAUCGACCGUGACAACCUGCUGAUCCAUAUCUGGUGUAUCUGAAACCCGAACUAAUCUGCCCUCUACUCUGAUCCACGAAACUAUACCCAGACUGAGAGUAAAAAUCCUGAUCCUGAAAGUACUCCUCUUCUGCUCUGAUCCACAAAGGUAUAUCAAGACAAGGAACAAAUGUCCUAUCCUACAAAGCACGAAGAACGUAAUAAGGAUAUGGCCCGGGGAACGUAUAGAAGAAAAGAUAAUCUGAACAGGAACAAGCAAAGCAUCCAAGUGAAGAUGAGCGAUCCGACCGUACUCAAACUCGUCCUGAUCUCAGUGCACUCUCAACUGGAGACUAAACAGAGGGAAAAUCGGAUCCAAAACUGCGGCUACAGAGGCACGGAAAGCCCUCAGAUGCACCCACGUGUAGGGAGGGAAUCCUAAUCGAAGGAUCUACGGCUCAACCUACAAGGUCAAGGUGGCUCUAAAUGGAUAAGGGUGGACUUUAAAAUAUCCCUAGCAGAAGCGAUUAUACCCUCCGACGGUACGCAACCCUCUGCACGUCUCCGAAGAGACGGGGCGCUUCCAUGCAAGGUGGUCAUCACCUCCACACAUGCACUACCUCGCAUCCCAGGGGGUUUCCUAUGGUGAAACCUCUCAAACUCUCAACACUCAAUAGUCGACUAGAGUGCACAGUGAAUGGUGUGGGUGCAUCCGAAACCCUAAAAAGCUAAAGCAGGAUAUGAAACACACUGGCCACACAAAUAUCCAUGAAACCUAGCUUCGGGCUAUACAGGUCUUCAAUGAUCGGACUCCAAUCGACAUCAAAGUGUCGCUCUCCUCCAAAAUGCUCCCGUGCAUCGAUAUAGCCCAUCGCUAGACCCUACUCCUAAUCUCCGGCUCGGUCAAAGAGCAAGCACACAGAAGGUCUCACACUUGCAAUAGUGAGAACCGAAAUGAAAGGAAUGACCGAAACCAAGAGAGUUGGAGGUAGGGGGAUAGAAGUGAGACCCACAUAGACAGGCAACAUGCAAUCAUACAGAGGGAGGGCAGUCAUGCAUCAUACGGUCAAGCAGAGUAUAGGAUAUAUCACUCAUGUCCACACAAAAAAAAAAGCUACAACUAUCAGGAUGAAUAGUGAUAUGAACAUCAUGCUCAAAAGAUGAUCUAGAUAAUAUGCAGGUCAGAGAAAACAACACAGCAAGUCAAACGAUGUACAAUAGUGAGUCUAUGCAUGUGAAGUGAGCAGAAUAAUCAGGAAGAAACAGAAUCGCUUUACCAAGCAAAACAAGGUGAGCAACCUAUGAUAAUCGGCAUGUCAAUGUACCAAACUAAUAUAGCAAUGAAGUACAAAAAAAACGACAUCCGAAGCCCCAAAUCAAGAUGAUCAAUCAUAUCAAUGUCACAACAUAAUAUCCAAGCAUACAUAAAAAAAACUCUCAAUGUGCAAUCAAGAGACAGGUACUCGCUGAUCGACUCAUCAAAUGCCCUGUUUGCUUCAUCUUAAGUUCAAGCUUGACCCUCUAACUCAUCCCCAGCGGAGUCGCCAUUUUGUGGACCCCGCAUUUCGGCUCAAUGCGUUCCCCACUCAAUGGUGCAUGCAGUCUGUUGAGGCUUUGCAAUGAUGGAACCUGAGUGCAUUGUUGGGCAGUCAUCCAUCCUUAUGAAAAGUUCUUAGGAGACUCACCCAAUCCUUGAAGUUGGAUCUGUUCCAUCCCCAGAAAGAAGAAUAUCAACAGUGAAUUAUGGGCACUACGUCCCUUUGACUUGGACGUUGGCCGCCAAUGUUUGAUAUGGAGUCGCGUUUGACUCAAAUGUACACUGACGCUACUUUUGGGCAUUGCCAUCAUGCUAUCCGUGACAUUUUAACUCCUGUCCUUCUUGCAUUAUACGAAUCAAGGAGGAAGAGUAAAUCAAAGUAAAACUCAUCAUAUGGGGCAACGUGAUUUUUAUCCUUCCAGGCUGGCAGAGACUCAACAUGAUACAGGGUUCUAAUCAAAGUUUGCUCUCGUCCAAAUACUCAAUCCUGUAAACAUCCAUGGGAUCAGUAAUGGAGAUAAGAGAAGGUCAGGAAUGCAAAUGAAAGAGAAUCAUCAUUGAAGUAUUGGGUUGAAUAAUGGGGUUAUCAUGGGAUCAAGAGGCUUAUGGCUUGGUGACAAUAGUUGACAUGGACAAAUGAGGAGAUAUGAAAGGCCAGAUUUGAGAGAUGAAGUCCACGUUUCUAUCAAGGAUUAUUUUAAUUGAUUCCAUCAAGGGCUCUCACAUGUGAGAUAGAGAUGGCAAUAGUAACAAGCACAACGAUGUCAAUGGCAUGAUUUCUGAGGCUAGUAUCAUAGGCGGCAUCCACCAGGCCAUUUUGAUCCAUAAGAAAGGUAGCAAAGUGCAUCGGGGCUUCCUCUUCGUUUUGGGUGGAAUGGUGAUCUUUGUGUUCCUCAACGACAUCCAUGGAGUGGAGUAGAUUGUUUAUUUGACAGUAGCAAUUGCAAAUGGGUCAUUAAUGGACUUGGUUUUGAUUACCAGGGCUUGAGAGGUUUCUUACCGAAUGAUAUAUCCCAAUCGCGCCAUCUACAUGCAACACGUCAGAAUGAUUCUUCUGUGGAUGGGAGCUAUUCAUGUCCUCUGGUGUUUGAGAAACUGCCAGACGUAAACCAGGAAGGGUCCCAGUGGACAGAUUGUGAAAUUCGAGAGACCAUCAACGUGAUUUAUCAUGUAUAAACUGGAUUCUUACCUAAGUAUCCUUGUUUCCGAACAUCGUAAACCGCGGAAAUUAACUUUGUACUGGAUUCCCUAUACAUGUGGGGCAGCGGGCUCAUCAGUUUGCUCAGUAUGGCUCCUAUGUCAUGGUAGUUUGAUGGGAAGUAAUGACAUAAAAAAUUGGGUUCGUGAAGCUAAGGACUCAACCAUUACCUUCUGGAAUAAUCAUGUAGAGCAAUCGAUUCCGUCCAUUAGAGAUGAAUUCUUUCAGGCAAUCAGGAGCAACACCUAUGAUGCCAUCAGCUGUUCUAACAAGCUCUGCAGCACCACUGAUCCUUAUAGUGCAGUCCCUCCACCCUGAGCUUAGAGGGAAGUGUUUUUGCAUGGCCACCUUGGGCAUGCAGCUCUUGACCAUGUGCCAUUUCCUUCUAUUCUCUCAUCCCCUGUUUUCUUGAAAAUAAUCUUCUUAAAUCCCAUUUUCAAUAAAAUUUGGUUGCCAUUUUCCUUCCGGCAAGCCACUUGUGCAUUUUCUUUGUUUUUAAAAUGUUUUAAAAAUAAGUAAGAAUUAAAUUCCGUAAUUCCAAGUGAUGGAAUUUAUGGAAUUGAUUCAUGCAAAAAUGAAUUGGGUCUUGGUGGGGGCCCUACAUAUGAGAUUCCAUGAUUGAUUGAUUUAUUUGUCAUGCAUGAUUGAUUUACUCUAUUCCUUGAUAUGCGCUUAAUUAUAUAUGUUCAUUGUUCACUAACCAUGUUUCAUGAUAGCGCAUUCGUGAUUGCCGCCCAGGUACGCAUCUAUUCAUAUUUUGCUCAUUCUUUAUACAUGCUUUGUCUCUCAUAUGUGCAUGAUUGAUUCGAGUAUUCAUUGAUUUUCUCAUUGAUUGUCAUGUCAGCUUCAUCUCAUUAGUAGAGACCCGACUUUAGGGACUUAGAGGGGUGCUACGGUCCAUACCGUACCUUCCCAAUAAGUAACCUGACCCCUGAACCCGAUCCGAUUUUUCACAGACCACCUUUUCCAAAAUAAGGAGUCACACUUAGGGUUUUUCUUUCUUAUUUUGUUUACCCUUUAAAAAUAAAACAAAAAUAAGUGGCGACUCCAAGUCAUUUUCAAAUAAUCAAUAAAAAUCAUUUUUCAAAUAAAAAUCGAGCUCGUCAUCGAGUGGGAAACGCAUUGAGCCGAAAUGCGGGGUCCACAAAGUGAUCUUGAAAAUUAUAAGUUAAUUAUGUUUACUUGAAUAAGAGAUUUGAAUAAUCUUGUAAAAAGAUGAUGUUUGUCGUUUAAGUGGAAGGUUGAUUUAGAAAUUAUCAUACAGGGAAAUGGAAAAAAAUACUAUUAUUUUGGUACAAGACCAUAUUAUUCAGUGGUGUCUCUAGAAAGUUCCAUUAGAUGCUAUUAAACAAUUAAUUUGGUGUCUCACUUGCAUAAUUUUGAGUUAUUGGAUUUUGGGUUUUGCAGACUCUAAUCUCCGGAGGUAACGACACAACUGUUGUCUCUCUGACAUGGGCACUCUCUCUUGUACUAAACAACCAUGACACCUUAAAAAAAGCUCAACAAGAAUUAGACAUCCAAGUUGGGAAGGAAAGAUUAGUGAAUGAACAAGAUAUAGGUAAGUUGGUCUAUCUCCAAGCCAUUGUUAAAGAGACAUUACGGUUAUAUCCAUCAGGACCACUUGGAGGACUACGCCAAUUUACCGAGGAUUGCACCUUAGGUGGAUACCAUGUCUCUAAAGGCACCCGUUUAAUAAUGAACCUUUCGAAGAUCCAAAAGGAUCCAAGAAUUUGGUCAAAUCCAACAGAAUUCCAACCAGAGAGGUUUCUCACCACCCAUAAAGAUGUUGAUCCUUGGGGAAAACAUUUUGAAUUUAUACCAUUUGGAGCUAGUCGAAGAGUAUGUCCAGGAAUAACUUUUGGUCUUCAAAUAUUACAUUUAACAUUAGCUAGUUUCUUACAUGCGUUUGAAUUUUCAACUCCAUCAAAUGAAUAGGUCGAUAUGCGCGAGAGCCUUGGACUUACAAACAUGAAAUCUACCCCACUUGAAGUUCUCAUUUCUCCACGCUUAUCUUCUUGUAGUCUUUACAAUUAAAACAUUGAAACGAAUAGGUCAAGUCGGUCUUGCUAGUCUUGGUUUAAAGACAUAUGGAGUUAGGUUCAAUCAAUCUAUGACAAGAUUUGGGAUUGUAUUAAAAGUAGGUUGGACUAAGAAUGAUGUAUAAUAAACUAAAGUACUAUUUAUGUCAAUAAAGUAUAGCUUUAUAUAUUAUUUGGUUAUCCUUGCUCUCCGUCUAGGCUCUCAUGGGUGCAAGGCCUACCCAUGAGGCCCUUUUCUCCAAAUUUGAGUCAAGUGGCUAAGGGGCUUACAACUAGCUUCUUUGCCAUAGACAAAUUUUCUUUUGUUUAUAUGUUUUAAUUGAUGCAUAUUCACUUUCUUCUUUUCUUAAUUAAAUUGCAAUAAUUAAACAUACAAUUUAAAUAAAUUUUAAAUUUUAUUUUUAACUAAAAACAAAAGUAUACAGAUACAAAUAUAUACUGCUUAAGUAAUUAAUUUUUAAAAAUUAUCCUUUGAGAACAUCUCAGACAAACUGAGACAUGCUUCCAGAGAAAUCUAAAUGUAAUGUUUUUAAAAGCUACUUUGUAAUUUUAUUUUCGAGCAUGUUGCAUAAUAUAUACUUUCCUUGAAUUGAUUUUCCAAACUAUAUUUUUAUUAGCAAUAAGGGUUAUCUACGUUUUGGAAAUUAUAAGUUAAUUAUGUUCACUUGAAUAAGAGAUUUGAACAAUCUUGUAAAAAGAUGAUAUAUAUAUAUAUAUAUAUAUAUAUAUAUAUAUAUAUAUAUAUAUAUAUAUAUAUAUAUAUAUAUAUAUAUAUAUAUAUAUAUCGUAUGGCUGAUUUGGAAAUUAUCCAAAAUGGAAAAAAAUACUAUUAUUUUGGUACAAGACCAUAUUGUUCAAUAGUGUCUCUAGAGAGUUCCAUUAGAUGCUAUCAAACAAAUAAUUUGGUGUCUCACUUGCAUAAUUUUGAAUUGUUCGAUUUUGGGUUUUGCAGGCUCUAAUUGUCGGAGGUAACAAUACAACUGUUGUCUCUUUAACAUGGGCACUCUCUCUUUUACUAAACGUACAACCACGACAUCUUAAAAAAGGCUCAAGAAGAAUUAGAUAUCCAAGUUAGCAGGGAAAGAUUAAUGAAUGAACAAGAUAUAAGUAAGUUGGUCUAUUUUCAAGCCAUUGUUAAAGAGACAUUACGGUUAUAUCCACCAAGACUACUUGGUGGACUAUGCCAAUUUACUAAGGAUUGCACCUUGGGUGGAUACCAUGUCUCUAAAGGCACCCGUUUAAUAAUGAACCUUUCAAAGAUCUAAAAGGAUCCAAGAAUUUGGUCAGAUCCAAUAGAAUUCCAACCAGAGAGGUUUCUCAUCACCCAUAAGAAUGUUGAUGAUUGGGGAAAACAUUUUGAAUUUAUUUCAUUUGGAGCUGGUCGAAGAGCAUGUUUAGGAAUUGCUUUUGGUCUUCAAAUAUUAUAUUUAACAUUAGCUAGUUUCUUACAUGCAUUUGACUUUUCAACUCCAUCAAAUGAACAUGUUGACAUGCAAGAGGCCUUAGACUUACAAAUAUGAAAUCUACCUCACUUGAAGUUCUCAUUUCUCCGGACUUAUUUUCUUGUAGUCUUUACAACUAAAACAUUGAAAUGAAGAGGUCAAAGUCGACCUAGCUAGUCUUGGUUUAAAGACAUAUAGAGUUAGAUUCAAUCAAUCUAUGAUAAGAUUUGGGACUGUAUUAAACAUAGGUUGGACUAAAAAUGAUGUACAAUAAACUAAUUAAAGUAUUGUCCAUGCCAAUAAAGUAUAACAUUAUAUAUUAUUUGGUUAGCCUUAAGGAAUGUAGCAUCAUAAUUAUUUCUUUGUUUUGUCUAAUUUAUCACCAUUUUUUCCCCUUCUCUUCUUCCCUUCUCUUCAUUAGAACAAAUAAUAUAUAGUCUUUUUAUUUUUAAAAAUCAAAUUCGAUUCCCAGUUAUAUAAGAAUUUUACUUUUACUUUAUAAUAAACUUUACUUUAAUCUUAAUAACUUUGACCAUGAUCUCCAUCAUUGAUUAAAUAUAGGGAUAAUUUCAAUCAUUUUUUCUAAGAUUGGAGUUAAAUUUACCCAUCCAUUAUUAAUUUGAAAUUUUAUUAAAUAUUUUUUUUUUCCUUUUUUUUUACAUGUAUAUCUUUUAAUUUAAAAUAAUAGUUGUCCGAUAUAUUUAUAUGAAAUUAUUUUCGAAGAGGUGAAUGAAACUAAACUUUUUUUUAAAUAUAAAAUCAUAAAAAUUUAAUAUACGCCAGCACGAUCCGGUCUAAAUAUUAUAUAUAAUUUGUGUCAUUUCAAAAAAUCAUAGAAGAUCCUUUUGGCAAGGUGGCCCCUUUGAGUAGGAAUUCUCUAAUUGGUCACUACAUAUUACAUAAUUUCAAAGAUUAUGGAGGAUCAUUUACCAAUCAUUAUCAGAAGAAGUGCUGAUUCCUGUAUAAAACUAACCAAUACGAUAUUUAGCACAUGCAAACAGAUUUGGAAGGAUCUGAAAGUCAAGCCUACGGGCCAUCCCUUUACGGCUUGUUCGAAAAAGCACAAAUUGAUGGGGUGCCACUUGCCAGCAGUCUGUUUCAAUAUCUAAAUGUUACCCAGUGGGAUUGCUUGAUAUACUUUUUGUCUCCUAGCUACCAUCUAUUAUUAUGGAGCUCCAGAGCUGGUAAGAUAAGAAUACACCCAAAAGCUGCUGGUGCAUGGCCAAUAAUCGGUCACCUCCUCUUAGGGUCACAACUUCCUGGGAUUUUUUUUUAUAAAAUUACGGUAAAUUUAAAAUUAAUUUUUUAAAAUGCGGCAUAUUGAAAAUAUGCUUGAAUAAUAAUAAUAAAAUGACAAAUAAUAAAAAGGAAAGAAAGUUGUCUUGUGGCUAUAAGAAAGAAUAAUAUAAAAGAGAGAGAUGAGGAGAGGCGGAUAGAGAGAAGAGUAGGCCGAAAAAAAAAAAAAAAAAGAGGAGAACGGGGAGGUGCUGCAAAUCUUUGGGCGUUCGAUCGUAUGACGAGCAAAACGACUUAUGUUUUGCAUGAAAGUUAAGGAGAAAAUUUUCUUUGAGGCGAGGAACAUUCCUUCAAAGUUCGAUUUUAGUUUCAAUGAUUGGAUUUUUUUAUUUGUGGUAAGAUAGUUUAAUCCUACAACUUUUGUUUAAUAUUUUGUUCUUGAAAAAAUAUUAUGAAUUUUUUUAGUGGAAGAUAAAUAUGUGUUAUUUGUGUUUUCUUUAUGUUAUUUGAAGUAUGAUUAUUCUUAAGGUUAUUAUUAUUAUUAUUGUUUUAUGAUUUACAUAUUAUUAUGAUUUUAUUUUUAAAAUUUUUAUGUUUGCAAUGAUUUAAUUGAAGAAAAACUGUUGUGUUGAUUGUUGAAAAUUAUUUAGUAUGUUGGGAAUAAAUAAAAUUUAUAUGAUUAGGGUUGAGACUAUGUUUUGAUGAUAUGUAAAUUAUUGUGAAUAUAUAUAUAUUUUAUAUUUGUAGUGAUUUAAUUGAAGAAAAAUUGUUGUGUUGUAAUUGGAAUUAUUGAUCAUGUUUGGAGUAAAUAAAAAUUAUGUCCUAGAAAAUUAUGCAUAAUAACAUGCAAGUUUAUUAUAUUUCAUAUGCAUCAUGGUUAUGUGAAAAAAAAAAUUGAUGAAAGAUUUUAUAAAAUGAAAAAGGAAAAAGAAAAUAAUGAUGAAAAGUAAAAACCUGUGAAAGAUAAAUCAAGAAGGAAAUGAGAUUUCUAGUGUAAAAAAUACAAAAAUUUAUCCCGUGAGUGUAUUUGAUAUAGAUGCAUAUCAUUAAGUGAAAACCCAAAAACAAUAGUUGAAUGUAAGCAUUUGCACCAUGUUUUCAUUUGGAAGAAGGACAUGUAUUAAAUACUUGAAUGACAUCAAUGGUAUGUUUAAAUAUAUUAUUAGAGAUUGAAAUAAUUUAUUUAUUUUGUAAGUUUAGAAUUAUUGGAUAAACCGCUAUUGACGAUUGGACCGAUGAAUGGGGCGGUUUUUCAUGAACUGCAUGGCUAAAUUCCAGCUCCAGUCUUCCUCCCAUUUUUCCUUUCAUCCAAAUAGUCCAACCUCCCCCUCCUCUUUUUCAUAGGGUCCAAGUGAAAGCCCAAUAAGCCCAGCCUUACAUUUUAAUGGCUUUUUGGCAAAACCUAAACCCAUUUAAACCCAUGGGUGGUACCUUUUUGGCAUGUACUAAUUUGAGUUAUAUGAAUUUUUGUAAUUUAAAUUAUAAUUUGUUAUUUUGUAAAAUAUUUUUUACUUAGAUUUAUGUAGAUAUUUGGGUUAAUUUGGGAUUAUAUAUUGAUCUAUUCAACUGAAAUCAUUGACCGUCAAAUUGGAUAGGAAUAACAUUUAAGGUCAACCCUUUGACCUGAUAUCACUAAUCGGAUUCUGAGUUGCCUUGAAUAGGGUGUGACUAUAAUGGAUUUUCUUCUCCAAUGCCUAAACCCUGUCAUGGUUGGAGCGUUUGCAAUACUCGUCCUCUCAUACCACCUGUUAUUAUGGAGGACUGGAGCUGGUAAGAGCAGAAUGGCACCUGAAGCUUCUGGUGCAUGGCCCAUAAUAGGUCACCUGCACCUGUUAGGUGGAUCUAAGAAUUUGCCUCACUUACUUUUUGGAACCAUGGCCGACAAGUAUGGACCAGUAUUCAGCAUCCGGCUGGGAUUAAAAAGAGCUGUGGUGGUGAAUAGUUGGGAGAUGGCCAAGGAAUGCUUCACCACCCAUGACCUGGCUCUGGCCUCCCGUCCUGAGGUUGAGGCCGCCAAAUAUUUGGGAUAUAACUAUGCCAUGUUUGCUUUCUCUCCUCACGGUGCAUACUGGCGUGAAGUGCGUAAGAUAGCUACUCUAGAGCUACUCUCGAAUCGCCGGCUAGAAUUGCUGAAGAAUGUCCGAAUCUCAGAGGUGGAGACAUGCAUGAAGGAACUAUACAAGCUUUGGGCAGAGAAGAAAAACGAAGCGGGCGUUGUUUUGGUGGACAUGAAGGAAUGGUUUGGGCACUUGACUCUGAACGUGAUUCUUAUGAUGGUUGCUGGAAAACGAUAUUUCGGUUAUACAGGCGAAAGUAAAGAGAAAGAGGCCCAGCAGUGCCGGAAAGCGAUUAGGGAAUUCUUUCGUUUGUGGGGACUCUUUGUGGUGUCAGAUGCCAUUCCUUUUUUUGGAUGGCUUGACGUGGGUGGACAUCUGAAAGCCAUGAAGAAGACUGCAAAAGAACUGGACGGUAUUGCUCAGGAAUGGUUAGAGGAACACCGGCAGCGAAAAGAUUCUGGUGAAGCUGAUGGUAACCAGGACUUCAUGGACGUGACGCUGUCCAUUCUGGGUGGUAGAGACAUUACUGAUUAUGAUGCUGAUACCAUCAACAAAGCUACAGCCCUGGUAUGCACAUUAUUCCUUUAGCAUCUUUAUAUGGUAGUAAAAAAUGAGACAUAAUUUCAUGCUUUAUCAUCUUUAGUCCAGACUCAAGAGUACUUGGGCCUGGGUUGGAAGAACUUAUUUUUGCUUUGUUUCAAGUCGAAACUAAUCAAAAGCAGCGAUUUUUAAAAGGUAAUUAUAAUAAUGGUAUUAUAAAAGUUCAAACAUAAAAUAACUUUUUGCAUAAAUCAAAAUAGAAUUUUUAUAUAUACAUAUAAAAUGUUUUUCUGAUCUUCAUAUUAAUUUUUUUAAGUCAUAACUUUUUUGAACAAAAUUAGUCAAACCAUAGAACUCUUGAACUUACAAAAAAGGGCUUUCGAUUUCUUAGAAGUAGAUACAUGUAGAUUAUGAAAGUAUGUUCCUUAGUCCGCAUGGUUUGAGGCCUCUUUGAGUGGGCUUCUAGAGUCGGUUAGACAAUUGGGCCUUUCAAAGGAUUUCCUAAAUUUACAUUUUUUUUAGCCCAACUUGAAUUUUUAUAAAAUGCUAUAUUUAUACGCGAGUUUCAUAUUCAAGCUAAACAUACCCAUUUUGAUUGGAAAAAAAAGGAAAGAAAAUGGGGCCUUUUUUCCACCCUUAAUCCUAUCACUACUUUUAAUUUUAUUUUAUUAGUUAAUGGUUUGUAUUUCACAGAUUCUGAUUGGAGGAGGCACUGACACUACAUCUGCUACUUUAACAUGGGUCAUCUCACUUUUAUUAAACAAUCCAGAUGUAUUAAGAAAAGCCCAAGAAGAAUUGGAUGCUCAUGUUGGUAAAGAAAGACUAGUAAAUGAAAUGGAUAUAAGCAAGUUGGUCUACCUUCAAGCAAUUGUUAAAGAGACAUUGAGGAUAAAUCCAACAGCUCCACUUUCAGGACCGCGUCAAUUCAUCCAAGAUUCUAUUUUAGGGGGUUACCAUAUCUCAAAAGGCACUCGUCUUAUAUUGAACCUUACCAAGAUCCAAAGAGACCCAAGAGUAUGGUUGAAUCCAAUGGAGUUCCAACCAGAUAGAUUCCUCACCACCCAUAAAGAUGUUGAUGUUAGAGGUAAACAAUUUGAGUUGACACCAUUUGGAGGUGGAAGAAGAAUUUGCCCUGGAGCAGUUUUUGCCCUUCAAGUGCUACACUUAACAUUAGCCAACUUCCUGCAUAGAUUUCAACUUUCAACUCCAUCAGAUGCACCGGUUGAUAUGAGCGAGAGUUUUGGAUUAACAAACAUCAAAUCCACUCCACUUGAAGUUCUUAUCUCCCCACGCUUGGCUUCUUAUGAUCUUUAUGAGUAGAACUUGAGGUCGCUAAGAGACUUAUUUCAAAAAACCUAGUGCUAUGAAAUGUGAAAUAAAAAUAAAUUUCACACAUGUAGCAUAAGUUUAGUAUUAUUUUCAAGCAGUUACUCAUGUGUGUCCUUUAAUAUUGUCUUAGCUUGAAUUUAAUGAAAAAUAUUUUCGACACCUUUUUCGUGUGGACAAGUAAUGACCCAAUUUCUUGUUAUGUUUCUUCAUUCUUUCAUGAAAGAGAAUUUAGAAGAACAAGUGACAUAUAGCAUUACAAUUGAAAAAUUAAUAAGUAUGUGCUCCACCAUAUGCAUAUAUAUAUGCAUAGUAGACUUGAUGAGUUUCCAAGUUGAUUAAUUGGUAUCUCCUUUUGAUAGAUUUCAGCCACCUUUUUGUACAUGAUUAAAGUAGUAAUGGAAACUAAAAUUACAACUCCCAUUUCAUUGUAAAAAGUUGGGAUGUGCAAGGUGGGUCAGUUCAAUUUUGGGCAUUAAAAUCAAAUCGAAUUGAACCCAAAAGAGGAAAAUGAUUAGUUUGACUUGAUUAACAAUAAUCUAAGUUGGUUCAUUUUGCUUCUAUUUAUAACAUCAAUUUUUUUUUAUAAUUUGAACAAAAAUAAUAUUAUUGAAGCAAGUCAUCUUUGGACGGUUGAAAUGAUAUUAUUACCACUAAUUUCAAAUCAUAUUAUUAUAACUUAAUGACGUGAAUAGGUAUUAUUGUAACCCAUGUCAAUCAUAUCAAAUAGUCCAAGUCAGAUAAAAGUUAUAAAGGUGUGAUUGGGAGUUCCAUCCAAUGUGAAAAAUGUAUACCAAAUUAAUGAUGUAACCAAUUGUUAUACUGUAUAUUAUUACUGUGUGUAUAACUUUCAAUUCAAUUCAGUUUGGUUCAUUAAUUUUUUUAAUAGGUAAUUGAAUUGGUAUAACUGAGUUAUAUAUUUUAAAAACCAAAUUUAUUAAAAAAAUAAAAUCUUAAAAAAUUAAUAGAUUUGGGUCAAUUCCAUUGAUUUUGCCAAUUGUACACCCUAAAAGAAGGGAUGUCCACUUAUCAUUCAUAAACUUUGUGUACUCCUAAGUUACAAUUUUGUCCCAUGUGAUUCACAUUUGUACUUAUUAUUCUCAAUUUUUUGUACAAAUGAUUUAUUAUUUUACAGAAUUUUACUCCAUGAGAUUCACAUUUGUACUUAUUAUUAUCAACUUUGUCUGCUCUUAAGUUACAAUUUCUCCUAAUUAGAUUCACAUGCGUUAUUGCCAUAAUUGAAUUUCCACAUUUAUGCAUGAAUUAUUAUGUUAAUAGAUACAUUAUCAUUUUGUCAAGUUAAUCUGACUCAGGUUAAUCACCAAAGACAAGGUGAAUUAAUUGACUCAAUUUUAAUAAAUUUUAAUUUAAAUGAGUGCAAGUAAUAAUAAUACAAAAAAAAUUAAAUAAAAAGAAGAGAUAACAGGUACAAACUCCAAUUUAUAUAUUUUGCUCAAUCCUAUACUCUCCUCAAGCUCUCAAAUGCAAAUUGAGGGUUCCACUAGCUUUUAAGACUUCAAUCAAACCUUAAUCCUUUACACUUGGAUUCUCAAUUUCAAUGACCUUUUUACACUUUAAUUCAAGAAAUUCCUCACUCUUGAACAUACUCAAAGGUAACACUUAAACAACAUUGAUCUCACAAAAUUUAUUUACAGAUAAUAUAAAUGAAAACUUAAAUGGUUUUUCUUGGCUAGGAUUUCUAAGUUAAUAAGGAUUUUUACAUUAAAAAGAAAGAGUUAAGAUCAACUGGGUUUUGUAAGAUUUUGAUAUAUAUCUUAGUUUGUGAGUUUUUUGGGAUUCUAUUGUAAUCUUAUUGUUUUAUCCUAAAAUUGUCAAAAAAAGAAAUCAGUAAUUUAGUAUGGCAAUUUUACUCCAAAGAUUAUUGAUUAAAAAUUAUUUUACUAAUACCAACGUGUAAGAGUUAAAGGCAUAAAAUUGAAAUUAAAGUAAGUUUAUUAUUUUGGAUUUGGUUAAGUAAUGACAAGAUUAAUAAUUGAACUUAAUGUAAAAAGAAGUGUAAAAACUUUAAAAGUUUAAAAUAUCAUUUCAUUAUUAGUUUCCACUUGCCAACAUAGAUUUCUCAUUCUAUUCUAACAAGUUUUUUGUACUUUUAUAUAUAUAUUUCAUAAACUUAACAAAGGAUACAAACAGCAAAAGAAAAAAAAAUAAUUGAGCUACUAAACCUCAAUAUAAAUUUGGGGUGAAUUGUCAAGGAGCAGGGGGAAGUACUGUAUCACAGAUCAAUGUGAAGAUGUAUAUAUAUUUAUAGUAUAGAACCUAAGAGGUGAACGUUUCUUUCUAAGUUAGGUAAACAUUUCUGUCAAAGUUGAUGAAAUUUUACUAUAAUUUAUAUACACAUGCUUUCAGUGUGCAUAUAGGUUGAAAUAAUAUGUGGAGAUGAUUUUUAUAUGUGAUUUAAUAUUGUUUUGGAUUAUUGAUUAUGACUAUAAAUUAUCAUGCAUGGAACUAAUCAAAAUGAUAUAAUUAAAUUAUAUUAAUGAAUUUGAGAUAGACAUGGCAAUUAUUAAUUUGAAAUAUCUUAUAUGAACAUAAAAUUUUAAAUAUAGACUCAUAAUUUAUAUUAAAAUAAUAAAAUUAAAAAAGUACGUUUAUCUCAAAUUUAUGCCUAGGGCCCAAAUUUUGCUGAGAGCCAGCCGGAUGUCAUCACAUGCAAGAAAGCUAGGAAACAAAGCUGAAGUUUGCUUCUUGUGUGGGAAGAGGUACUUCCGUGCUUGACUGAAAGAAAGGAUUUUCUACAAGAAAAAUUGUCCCCUUGUUUGUAAAGCCUCAAGUUGCGACAGCAAUAACGACAAAAGUAGGCCAAAGAAUUUGUCAUUAUUAUGAGACUAGAGAGGUUUUACUGAGAAGUUUUCCGAGCGUGAUAUCAGCAUUCGCUGUAUCACAGUGAUACAACAAAUGGUUUGAACACAGUGAUCUAGAACCCAUUAGCUCAAAUUUCAUUGAUCUGAACACGAUGAUCCUCAUCCGCAGACCAUUUUAGGGAAUGAUUAAUUCUAGCGAUUUUUUAACUGCCUGUACGAAGAACUUUAUCAAAAUUGGAUUCAGUGUAUCUUAACCAAUCUUGAUCAGUAUGCGACUGAUGAUUCUAUUUGAUAAAAGUAAUGCGGUGGCCCAACUUUAUCUUAAUUUCCAUGUUGAAACUAACCAUUAUAUUAUUCUAUAAUUAUAAAUAUAUACUAUGGAAUUAAGAUAACUUUGACAUGCUAAGGAUCAAAAGAGGGCAGCCACUUUAGUUGUGGAUUAUACUAAAUAAAGCUGAUCGAUUAUUACAUUGGAAAAUAACAUUGAACCUAUCAUGAAAGACAACCCUACUGGACCAUGCCCUGAGUACUAAAUGCUGAUAAAAAACAAGUACAUGUUCCAAAGGAAUUGAGUCCAUAUAUACUCAUUAGUGCUCAAAGAGAAAAACUAUAUAUCCACCGCUUAACUACAGUGAUCCUUUGAGCAGAAGAAACUAGCCAUGUAUUUCCUUCUCCAAUACCUAAACAUCACCACGGUCGGAGUCUUUGCCACACUUUUCCUUUCCUACUGUCUAUUAUUAUGGAGGUCUAGAGCUGGUAACAAAAAAAUAGCACCUGAAGCUGCUGCUGCAUGGCCCAUAAUCGGUCACCUACACCUGUUAGCUGGUGGUUCUCAUCAGCUUCCCCACAUAACCUUGGGAAACAUGGCCGACAAAUAUGGACCGGUCUUCACAAUUCGGAUUGGGUUGCAUCGAGCUGUGGUGGUAAGUUCUUGGGAGAUGGCUAAAGAAUGCUCGACCGCCAAUGACCAGGUUUCAUCCUCGCGUCCCGAACUUUUAGCCUCAAAACUUUUGGGCUACAACUACGCCAUGUUUGGUUUCUCUCCAUACGGUUCUUACUGGCGUGAAAUGCGCAAGAUAAUCAGCCUAGAGCUACUCUCUAACAGCCGCUUAGAGCUGCUGAAGGACGUCCGAGCUUCAGAAGUGGUGACAUCCAUAAAAGAGCUAUACAAGCUCUGGGCAGAGAAAAAAAAUGAAUCGGGCCUUGUCUCGGUGGAGAUGAAGCAGUGGUUUGGAGACUUGACUCUGAACGUAAUUCUUAGGAUGGUGGCAGGGAAGCGUUAUUUCAGUGCUUCAGAUGCAAGUGAAAAUAAACAGGCGCAGAGGUGCCGGAGAGUGUUCAGGGAAUUCUUUCAUUUGUCAGGGCUCUUUGUGGUGGCGGACGCUAUUCCAUUUCUUGGAUGGCUCGACUGGGGGAGACAUGAGAAAACCCUAAAGAAGACAGCAAUAGAAAUGGACAGUAUUGCUCAAGAAUGGUUAGAGGAGCACCGUCGGAGGAAAGACUCCGGUGAUGAUAAUAGUACGCAAGACUUCAUGGAUGUGAUGCAGUCAGUUCUUGAUGGCAAAAACCUUGGUGGUUACGACGCUGAUACCAUCAAUAAAGCCACAUGCCUGGUAUGAGUUAUUAAUGAAACACCCACGUACCAUUUAUUUGCAUAUUAUCAGGGCUAGCUUCUUUUGCACAGACAGUUUUUCUUUUGUUUAUAUGUUUUAAUUGAUGCAUAUUCACUUUCUUCUUCUCUUAAUUAAAUUGUAAUAAUUAAACAUAAAAUUAAAUAAAUUUUAAAUUUUAUUUUUAACUAAAAAUAGAAGUAUACAUAUACAAAUAUAUACUGCUUAAGCAAUUAAUUUUUUAAAAUUAUUCUUUCAGAACACUUCAGACAAGCUGAGACAUGCUUCGAGGGAAAUUUAAAUAUAAUGAUUUUAAAAGCUACUUUGUAAUUUUAUUUUCGAGCAUGUUGCAUAAUAUAUGCUUUCCUUGAAUUGAUUUUCCAAAUUUUAUUUUUGUUAGCAAGAAAGGGUUAUCUACGUUUUGGAAGUUAUCUUUAAUUUCCCCUGUAAAGAAUAAGUGAUCUUGAAAAUUAUAAGCUAAUUAUGUUCAUUUGAAUAAGAGAUUUGAAUAAUCUUGUAAAAGAUGAUGUAUAUCGUUUAAGUGGAUGGUUGAUUUAGAAAUUAUCAUAAAGGGAAAUGGAAAAAAAUACUAUUAUUUUGGAACAAGACCAUAUUGUUCAUUGGUGUCUCUAGAAAGUUCCAUUAGAUGCUAUCAAACAAUUAAUUUGGUGUCUCAUUUGCAUAAUUUUGAGUUAUUGGAUUUUGGGUUUUGCAGACUCUAAUCUCCGGAGGUAGCGACACAACUGUUGUCUCUCUAACAUGGGCACUCUCUCUUGUACUAAACAACCGUGACACCUUAAAAAAAGCUCAAGAAGAAUUAGACAUCCAAGUUGGUAAGGAAAGAUUAGUGAAUGAACAAGAUAUAAGUAAGUUGGUCUAUCUCCAAGCCAUUGUUAAAGAGACAUUACGGUUAUAUCCACCAGGACCACUUGGAGGACUACGCCAAUUUACCGAGGAUUGCACCUUGGGUGGAUACCAUGUCUCUAAAGGCACCCGUUUAAUAAUGAACCUUUCGAAGAUCCAAAAGGAUCCAAGAAUUUGGUCAGAUCCGACAGAAUUCCAACCAGAGAGGUUUCUCACCACCCAUAAAGAUGUUGAUCCUCGGGGAAAACAUUUUGAGUUUAUACCAUUUGGAGCUGGUCGAAGAGCAUGUCCAGGAAUAACUUUUGGUCUUCAAGUAUUACAUUUAACAUUGGCUAGUUUCUUACAUGCGUUUGAAUUUUCAACUCCAUCAAAUGAACAGGUCAAUAUGCGCGAGAGCCUUGGACUUACAAAUAUGAAAUCUACCCCACUUGAAGUUCUCAUUUCUCCACGCUUAUCUUCUUGUAGUCUUUACAAUUAAAACAUUGAAACGAAGCGGUCAAGUCGGUCUUGCUAGUCUUGGUUUAAAGACAUAUAGAGUUAAGUUCAAUCAAUCUAUGACAAGAUUUGGGAUUGUAUUAAAAGUAGGUUGGACUAAGAAUGAUGUAUAAUAAACUAAAGUACUAUUUAUGUCAAUAAAGUAUAACUUUAUAUAUUAUUUGGUUACCCUUAUGGAAUGCAACAUCAUAAUUAUUUAUUUGUUUUGUCUAAUUCAUUCUACAUUUUUUUCCCCUCAUUUUCACCACAACAAAUAAUAUAUAGCAUUUUAUUUUUUGAAAUCAAAGUUAGUUCCGAGUUAUAUAAGAAUUUUACUAUUACUUUAUAAUAAACUUUAAUCUCAAUAAUUUUAACAUGUAAAUAUGAUCUUCAUCCUUAAUCAAAUAUAGGGAUAAUUUCAUUCAUCUUUUAGAAGAUUAGAGUUAAAUUUACCUAUCCAUCAUUAACUUGAAAUUUCACUAAAUAUAUUUUUUUUUCUUUUUCCUUUACUAUUUUUACUCAUCAUAUCUUUUAAUUUAAAAUAAAAAAUAUGUUUAAUAAAAUUUGGGAAUAAUGGUUAUUAGACAUAUUUACGUGAAAUUUUCGAUGAGGUGAAUGAAACUAAAGUUUUCUUUAAAUGUAAAAUCAUAAAAAUUUAGUAUCUGCCAGCAUGAUCCGGUCUAAAUAUUAUAUAUAAUUUGUGUCAUUUCAAAAAAUCAUAGAAGAUCCUUUUGGCAAAGUGGCUCCUUUGAGUUGGUAUUCUCUAAUUGUCACUACAUAUUAUAUAAUUUCAAAGAUCAUGGAGGAUCAUGUCGGCAAUCAUGAUCAGAAGAAGUUGCAGCUUCCUCUAUAAAAUACUAUAUAUACAUAAAAUUAAUCAAUGCAAUAUUUAGCAUAUGCAAGCAAAAUUGGACGGAUCAUGAAAGUAAACCUACGGGCCACCCCUUUACGACUUGUUCGAAAAAGCACUAACCCAGGGUGGUGCCACUUUCCAGCUGUCUUUUUCAAUAGCUAAAUGUUACCACGGUCGGAAUGCUUGGCAUACUCUCUCUCCCCACUAUCUAUUAUUAUGGAGAUCCAGAGCUGGUAAGAGAAGAAUAGAACCCGAAGCUGCUGGUGCAUGGUCAAUAAUCGGUCACCUCCUUUGGGUCACAACUUACUGAAAAACCGUCUGUCUAGUAGGUAAGAUUCAGAGGUGAAUACAUGUAUUUAAAAAGAUUAUAACAAAAAAAUUGAAUUGUUUUAACCUAAUGAAGAUAUAAAAGAUAAAUAAAAUAAUCAAAAUCAAACAAAUAAGUAAAGGACACAAAUUUUUAUAUGGAAAAUUUUCACAUUUACUAUAAAGAUAAAAAAACUACAAGAUAUAACAUCUUUAAUCUACUAUCUAUUGUUUGAAAUCAAAGUACGCAAAUUUACUUGCUCACGAUGCAACACCUUUCUCUUAGUCUCGUUGAAGAGAUGCAAGUCAAUACUAUGAAUUUUUUCUCAAGAAAUUGGAAAUGAUAGGGUAAGUUGUUGAUUCUCUUGUAGUGUCAAUAUAAAACAUAUUUAGGUAUGAUAUGUAAAAAAUAUUUACAUAAUCACAUAGAUUAAUGAUACAUGAUUAAAAGAUACUAACAAUAGGAAAUCACUAUAAAGAACAUACCUGUUUGAGUCAUGAUAAAAAAAACGUGAUUGAUUGUUGUAGUCAAGUCUUCCUCUCUAUGAUCUUGAUAAUAGAUAUGGUGGCUAUAUGGGAAAACAGAUAAACCCUAUUUAUCUACAUUAGAGAGGGGACCUAGCAUAACUCAAAUUGGAUUCUCAUUGGGCCCUCCCAUAAUGGGCUUCAAUGAGACCCAUAGCCUACACUUGCCACUCAACUGAGCUUCUACUCAAAAGAUGCAAAACCCAAUCUAAAAUGUGAUCACUAAUUAAUUGGGCUCAUUAUAGAAUAGACUAUCUAUUAACCCGUUUUUGCAAAUACAAAUUAUUCAAUUAAUGUUAGCCCAUAUAAAAAUUUUCCAACAUGAUAUAUAUAAGAGAAGAUCUACUAGAAUUGGUAUCAAUUAAAAAAUUAUAUUUUACUAAAAAUAAUUUAGAAACUUAAACUUUUAAAAAGAUUUGGAAUAGUUUUCUUUUUAAAAUUAUUAAUUUUAUAUUAUUUCCCAAUUUAUUUUUAUUAUUUGGAAAUGAAUUUUUAAAUUGAGAAUUUAAAAAAUCUUUUUAUUAUUUGGAAAGAUCUUUUAAAUUCUCAAUUUAAAAAUUCAUUUCCAAAUUAUUUUUAUUAUUUGAAUUUUUUUUUAAAUUCUUAAUUUAAAGUUCUUUUNNNNNNNNNNNNNNNNNNNNNNNNNNNNNNNNNNNNNNNNNNNNNNNNNNNNNNNNNNNNNNNNNNNNNNNNNNNNNNNNNNNNNNNNNNNNNNNNNNNNGUAAGUCAUCGUCUAAAAAGAUUUUUAAGUCAAAAUGAAAUUAAACAAAAUUGUUAACUAACAAAUUACAAGACUUACUAUCCCAACAUCCCCCAUAUAUACUUGGGAACCAUGGCAGACAUAUACAGACCGAUCUUCACGAUCCUGGUCGGGAAUGCAUCGAGCAUUGGUGGUGAGCAAUAAGGAGGUGGCCAAAGAAUGCCUCGCCAUCAAUGACUCAGCAGUGUCCGGCCAUCCCAAAUUGGUAGCCCCAAAACAUCUGGGUUACAACUAUGCCAUGUUGGCUUUAUAUAUAUAUAUAUAUAUAUAUAUAUAUCAAUAGAAAUACUUAAACAAAAUAAAUAUUUACAUGUGAGGAAAAAAUAUUUACUUAAAUUUCAGAGAAUUAAUAAUAAGGUUAUAUUUGGUUUCUAAAAAGUAUUAAAGAAAAAAAAUAUAAAAGAAAAUGAUUUUUUUAUGUUUGGUUUUAUUAUAAUUUUUUUAAUGAAAAUUAAAUAUAAUUAGAAAUUUAUACAUUUUAAAAUUAUUUAAUCUUUAUAUAAUUGAGGAAAUUAAGUGAAAUGAAUUUGAGGAAACAUAUAAAAAUAAUUUAUUAAUUUUGAAUAUAUAUAUAUAUAUAUAUAUAUUAUUUUUUUUCUUUUUUUUUGUUCCACUUUUCAUCUCUAUUUUCUUUUCCUCAAAAUUUUCAAGAAUCAAGCCAAAGUAUUUCUAUUUAAUUGUAAUAAAUACAUGAUAGUUUUUUUUUUUUUCACGAAUUGUAGAUACCAUUUAUGUGCACUUGUCAUAAAUUACUUUUACGAUAAUUUUAAUUAUCUAAAUUAUUAUAUCGUAAUGUAAUAAAAUAGUUCCUUUAUUUUUUAUAAAAAAUUUUUAUAUUUUAAUUUUAUAAUAAACAUACUCUUUCCUGCAUUUCUUGAAAUUUUUUUAUAUAUAAAUUAUGAAAACGUAAAUUAUGGUUGCUUUUUUUUUUUUUUUUUUGGUUUUAGAAAAAAUAAUGAAAAUGCAUUUCAUAGCUGUGGAUUUUGAUAAAUUGGAAAAAAAAAAAAAAAAAAAGAGAAAGGUGGAAAGAAUUUAAAAUGUGUAUUUUUAAAAUUUAUUAAGAAAUUUAACCUUCUUUUUUCGUGGAUAUGGGCGAUUAGGCCAAACCAUAUAAAUAUUUUGUCUUCUUUUUCAUUUAUUUUAUUUUUGUUGUUGCAUUUGAUAUUGCAAUUUCCCUCCUCCCCCCAACAAGUGGAAUUAAACUUGUGGUGGGAAGAUCAUGGGAAAAUUGAAAAGGAUGUCAAGCAUAAAAUAUGAUAUUAAAUCAUUUGAUGGAAAUAAUAAUAAUAAUAAUUUUAGCAUAUGGCAGAUGUUUUGGUAUAACAAAGACUUCUUAAAGUGUUAAAAAGGUAAGAAAGCAAAGAACAUGAUAGAAGAUGAUUUAUGGGAGAAGUUAUACACAAUUUAUAUGUCAACAUCCCAAGAAGAUGGAUGAAGGAUUAGAUGUUGAGGUCAUAUAAAUAAAUUUAUUAAGUAUAUACCCAGGUAUUAAGUGUAGAUAUUAAGAUGGAUAGAAAGAUCAAAUCAUUCUUUCAUUGGCUUUCUACCAAAAUCGUACGAGAUAGUAGUAACUGCACUUUUAGUUGGAAAGACAACUAUUACACACCCUAAAUACUAAAAUUAUGAUUUAAUUAUAAUAUCAAAUGAUUAAUUUAUAAUUUUAAAAUUUUAUAUAUAAAUUUAUGAAUAAAAUACAAUGUUUGAAAUAAAAAACUAAUUAUUUAAUUAUUUUCAAAUUCAUGAAUUUUAAUUCUAAUGUACAUAAUAACCGUAAUUUUUUUUAUAAAGUUGUUACUAAAUAUAUAUUUCCAAAUAGUAACAUAAUAACAUUUUAUUUUACAAUUUCUAAAUUUAAAAUUUUAUUUCUUUUAAAAGUUGAAAUAAUAUGGUCUAAUGAAUUGAGAGUUUUUAUAUAUGUCUUGUAUGUUGUUUAAGUUAUGUAAUUUCACCAUGUAAAAUAGACUAUUUUUAAAAGUUUUAAAAUUUAAGAUAAGAAAUAAUAGAUUUUGUUACUUUUCAUGUUGGUGAUACUCAAUUUUUUAGAUUUUUUAUUUUUGAUAAUUUUAUUUAGGUGAACUUUUUAAAAAAAAAAAAAAAGAAAAAAAAAAGAAAUUUAACUAAAGUUGUCAAUUUAUAAUUAAAAUUGGAAAAUCAAAUUUUGAUUUACCUAUAAUUAAAUUCUAAAAUAUUUUUAUUAGAUUCAAGGAGGGUAUUCCAUUAUUUAUAUUACAAACUUAAAGUUAAGCAGACAUUUACUUCAAUGUGCUAUACAAUAAAUAAAAUGAUGCAAAAUGGUGCACCACACCCAACUUGCGCACUUUAUGCACACCAUUCAAAUCGUGCAUCUCCAACAUACGACCUAAAUUGUGCACCUCUAAUGCAUCACUUGAAUUGUGUACUACUUAAAUUAUGCAUGUCUCCGGUUUAAAACACUUUGUGCAUCCCCAAUUAUGCACCUCCUUCUCUUUUAACACCUACUUAGAUUUGCAUAUUAUCAGGGCUAGCUUCUUUUCCAUAGACAGUUAUUCUUUUGUUUAUAUGUUUUAAUUGAUGCAUAUUCACUUUCUUCUUCUCUUAAUUAAAUUGCAAUAAUUAAACAUACAAUUUAAAUAAAUUUUAAAUUUUAUUUUUAACUAAAAACAAAAGUAUAUGUAUACAAAUAUAUACUGCUUAAACAAUUAAUUUUAAAAAAUUAUUCUUUGAAAACACCUCAGACAAACUAAGACAUGGUUCCAGAGAAAACUAAAUAUGAUGCUUUUAAUAGUUGCUUUGUAAUUUUAUUUUCAAGCAUGUUGCAUGAUAUAUACUUUCCUUGAAUUGAUCUUCCAAAUUUUAUUUUUGUCAACAAUAUACCUAUGUAAGAGAUGGUUAGUUUAGAAUUUUUCUCUUAAACCAUAGGGAAAAAUGGAAAAAGAAUACCAUUAUUUUCGUACAAGGUCAUAUAGUUUAACAAUGUUUGAAGAGGGUUUCAUUAUAUACUAUCAAACAAUUAAUUUGGUGUGGUCACUUACGUAUUUUUAAGUUGUUGUCUUCUUCAUUUUGUAGGCUCUAAUUGCAGGAGGUAGCGACACAAUAGUUGUCACUCUAACUUGGGUGCUCUCUCUCUUCUAUUAAACAACCAUGACACCUUAAAAAAAGCACAAGAAGAAUUGGAUACACAAGUUGGCAAGGAAUGAUUAGUGAAUGAACAAGAUAUCAGUAAAUUGUUCUAUCUCCAAGCCAUUGUUAAAGAGAUAUUAUAGUUAUAUCCACCACGACCACUUGCAGGGCCACGCCAAUUCACUGAGGACUGCACCUUGGAUGGUUACCAUGUCUCUAAAGGCACCCGAUUAAUAUUGAACAUUUCCAAAAUCCAAAAGGAUCCAAGAAUUUGGUCAAAUCCAAUAGAAUUCCAAUAAGAGAGGUUUCUCACCACCCAUACGGACCUUGAUCCUCGGGGAAAAUAUUUUGAAUUUAUACCCCCAUUUGGCGCCAAUAGAAAAGCAUGUCCUAGAAUGACUUUUGGUCUUCAAAUGCUACAUUUAACGUUGGCCAAUUUUUUACAAGUGUUUGACUUUUCAACUGCGUCAAAUGCACAUAUUGAUAUGCAUGAGAGUCUUGGACUUACAAACAUGAAAUCUACCCCACUUGAAGUACUCAUUUCCCUACACUUGUCUUCUUGUAAUCUUUACAACUAAAACAUUGAAACAAAAAGGUCAAAGUCGGCAUAGCUAGCUAGUCUUAGUUUGAAGACGUUAGCUUCAGUCAAUCUACAAUAAGAUUUAGAAGUGUAUUAAAAGUAGGUUGGACUUGAUACUUUUAAGGAAUGCGAUGCUAAUUCUAUUUGAAUGGGUAAUGAUUCAGACUCUAAAAUCAUUAGGAUUUAAAUCAUAAAGGUGAGGAUAUUUUAUGGUAUUAUAAGGAUGUUGAGUAAUGUUAAGCAUGUUCCCAAGUCGAGGAGGAGUUUAAAUUUCUUUAAGGGCUUUGGACACUUUGGGUUGUGAUUUUUUUGUGAAGCAUAGUAUUAUGGGUAUCAAUAAAGUGCUUUGACAACUAUGAAAAGGAAAAAAGUGAAAAAUUUAUACACCUUAAUCAAUAAGACAACUUAUAGGUGGAGUUCUAAAGGAGUCAUGUUAACAGAAAGAAGGAAUGACACGUAUUUAUUCUUCAUAAUUAUGUAUAAUUAAGAGAUUUGAGUCAAUGCAUGUGGAGAUUAUUGGUAUUUGAAUCUAAUUAUUUAUUUUUUAUUUUUGAAAAAGUCAAUAUUUAUAAAGUCUAUGUUUUACUAAAUUACCCUUUUGAAUUUGACUAAGAUCAGGAAACUAUUGAUUUAGGGUUAAUUCACAUGAUUUUACAAAUAUGUGGUUUUAAAUAAGAUUUAUACUAAAAAGGAAAAAAAAAAUAAGAAAAGAGGAAAACUUAAAUAGGUAAAUAGUCUAUUGAGUUUUGGAUGGAGAAAUGUUGAGAGAAUUUGAAGAUUUUCUUUGUGAAGCAUAUUAAUAAAUUUUAUCUUCCUUUCCCAGGUCUUUUCUAUUUAUUUUAUUUUUCCUGCUCAAUUUGAGUGUUUCAAUUUUUCCAGAACAUGGACAGUACAAAUGGCCAGAUGUUUCAUAUACGGUGCAUGUCAUAAAGUCGCCGCCUUCAGCUUGGCAAGAAAUCAAGCGAAACUGGACUUGAACUUGUCAUUCUUAAGGAAAUAAGCGCCAGCUAGGGUUCAAAUUUUAUGAUGUGAGCAUGCAACACUUAUCCCAAUCCACUGUUCUACUAAUAGGAUGUAGAAGACAACAAGCAAUUGUAGGAGCUUAUCUUUUUUUAUUUUUAUCAAGGUAGUUUCUGAAAGGAUGUGGAUCAACAUCGAUCUGUAGUGAUCCCUAGAAGGCUCCACUGUUCUAAUAAUAGGAUGUAGAAGACAGCAAGCAAUUGUAAGAGCUUAUCUUUUUUUCUUUUUUUUUUAUCAAGGCAGUUUCUGAAAGGAUGUGGAUCAACAUCGAUCUGUAGUGAUCCCUAGAAGGCUCCACUGUUCUAAUAAUAGGAUGUAGAAGACAGCAAGCAAUUGUAGGAGCUUAUCUUUUUUUUUUUUUUUUUUAUCAAGGCAGUUUCUGAAAAGAUGUGGAUCAACAUCGAUCUGUAGUGAUCCCUAGAAAGGCUGUUUUCUAAAUAUAGUAUUAUAAUAAAAAUAACGUUUGCCGAAAUUAAUAACGUUUGGAUAUGUUACAUGAGAGAAACAAACACGAGUACUCCUUGUAGUACAUGAGAAACCAUAUAUAUAUAUAUAUAUGCUUGAACGGGGGAGCUACCCACAGUUUAACCACAGUGAUCCAAUAACGACAUUCUGAGCUACAAUGGAUUUCCUUCUCCAAUGCCUAAACCCUGUCAUGGUUGGAGCGUUUGCAAUACUCGUCCUCUCAUACCACCUGUUAUUAUGGAGGUCUGGAGCUGGUAAGAGCAGAAUGGCACCUGAAGCUUCUGGUGCAUGGCCCAUAAUAGGUCACCUGCACCUGUUAGGUGGAUCUAAGAAUUUGCCUCACUUACUUUUUGGAACCAUGGCCGACAAGUAUGGACCAGUAUUCAGCAUCCGGCUGGGAUUAAAAAGAGCUGUGGUUGUGAGUAGUUGGGAAAUGGCCAAAGAAUGCUUCAC